This 51268-nucleotide long non-coding RNA is filed under the name Eucalyptus grandis. RNAcentral's name for it is "long non-coding RNA (EGRA_LNC000570)". Lineage: Eukaryota; Viridiplantae; Streptophyta; Magnoliopsida; Myrtales; Myrtaceae. The record is from RNAcentral.
ACCAACAAACAGUCGCAUAGCCUAUAUAAAAGAUCACUUAGCAGAGAGUGAACAAAAAUUCUUUCUGCUGAUUAGAAAAUUCAUUCUUCCAUUGAUUAUAAAACAGCUGCAACAAGUUUAGAAGGCCCAAAUCUAGUUCUCUCAUUCUCUUCGUGUGUGCGUGUGUGUGUGUGUGUGUUUUGUGUCCUCCAUGUGUGCUGGAUCAAAGAAGUGAAGUAUGCAUGUAUUGUAAAUACCUUGAUGUAAUUAUUCGAAUCGAGGGUAAAGCGAUGGUACAUUCCAGCUGGUAAAACAAUCAUUCCACCUUUCUUUACCCACACACGAAUCCAACCAUCAUUCUUGUCCCUAACAUCAAAAUAACCUAGACGACAAGACAAAGUUUAGAGAAUUCAAUGGAAAGCAGAAUAUAGAAAGCUGAGAGAAGAAAAUCAGGGACUUACCACUUCCAGCCACAGCGUAACGAAUCUCCUCAUCAGUGUGGAGAUGCUCCUCAAAGAAGUUCUUGAUCUUCUCUUCAUAAUUUGGCAGCUUCUCUGGGGAAACUUCGCAGAAAUCCUGGGCAAAAAUAAAAGAAGUUUCAUGUCAUCAAACUUAGCAAACAAGCUUGACAUUGCAAGUGUCCAGCAGAUUAAAAGGGACCAAGGUCCUCGGGGGGAUCAUCACAUUAGGCAGAAAAAAGACAUAAGUCUUUUCAAAACGUGUGAGCAUCAUUCCUUAACAAUGCAAGUACAUUAUCUGAUUAAUUUUCAAACUCGAUCAUGAUCCAGGUCUAGUUCCACAACAUGGACAAACACGAAUGUUAAUAUUAUCCUGAAGCAACUACAAACUACCAAGACCAGUGAAAAUGCGUUAUAAUAUUAUGAAGUUACAUACCAUGUACGAGUAUCCACGUUCCUCACGGAUUUUCUUCAAUUCCUCAUCAGUUUCAUAGUUGUCAGCAUCCAAUCGCCAGCUGAGAACACCAAGUUCUGCAAGAACAUGAUAGCUCCUAAUGAAUUGGAAAACGGAAUUAUUUUAUUGUAUCUUAAAAGAGUGCUUCCUCAGAAUGCAUACCUUCAAGCUGCUUCAAGGAAAUAAAUUCCUUAGGUUCACGGUGAUGUGGAAGUCUUUGGUCUUCAUUGCUGUCAUCCAUAUACCAUGCUUGAAGGACUUCCUCUCUCGGAUCCUACCCAGCCCAAAGUUUGAAAGCAUCACCCCAAAUGCAGGACAGGCAUUGAAGGAUCCACAGUAUAUCACAAGAUUCACGACAUAAAUUUAACCACCCUCUUCCAUGCUCAAGGAAGGAUGAGAAUGCUUCUAUCCAAAAAUUGUUUUCUUACCUAGGUUUUAUGGGUGGAAAAGACUUUUAUAGUUUCCUAGUUCUCAUGCUUAGAUCAUGACCACUGAUACAGAAUCAUCAUUUAAAUAAUGCUGGGCUAUCAAAACAAUUUAUUAGAUACUCUAAAUUAACCGAAAUACAAGCUAAUCAAUACCAAGUAUAGCGAAUUGAUCUUCAGAAUACGCAAACCAGUGCAUGCCCUUAGGUGCAGAUGCAUACGUGACACAGACAAUCAACAUGCCGUGAAAACCCAAGAACAAGUUCACAAAGUGAAACAAAUACAUCUUUAAGAACAAUAAAGAGAAAGAAGUACCCUAUAUUCUACAUUGACUAUAAGGACCUAAAACAGAUACAUCUUUAAAAUUAUGUAAGACAAACAAGUAUCCUAUAUUCUGCAUUGACUAUAAGGACCUCAAAGUGGACUGCAAUAUAAUAAUUCUCUCCUAGUACAAUUAUGCCUCUGUCCACAGUACAAGCUCUAACUUUGGCACCAUAUAAAGAGGCAAUGACAUCCGCCAGAAAAGUGGCAAUCAGAUCUUAAGUCAACUAGACCUCCACACCUUCUUUCUACCACAUUAAUGGUUUCUUUUUUACUCAACUUGCUACAUUAUCUAAGGUAAUGGCUGCACUUUUUCCAGCCCGUUACCAAGACUCAACCUUCAUGUCCCUUGAAGAGGACAGCUUCUCGCUAACCCACUCGACAUCCUCAACAAACACUUGUUUCAAAAGUUUUAAGUUGUCAGAGCAUGUGCAAAACAAUCCAUCCCAACAAUUUUUGCCUGUGGAUCUCAUUACCCAUCCAAUACACCAUGGCCAUAGGGUGGCGUGACAUCCACGUGAAUCCAAGAUGGAAGGACAUCAAGCCAAACUAGUUCAAUUAGGAGCAAGUAAGCCCUCAAGCCGGCCCCUUCAUAUAAUCCAUACUGGAAACUUUUCUUCUUUCAAGACUUCUCUUCAGGAUGCUGCUCAAUUCUUCCUUCGCACCUCCCACAGAGAUCAUAUCCGUUCAAGGGUUCAAGUCCCCCGUUCCAAGAAUCCCAAAACCACGGCAAACAAAUCCUAACUAGGCUAAAAAAAUCAUGGGUUUCCACCGUAACAACAGCUUACCCAAAACCCAGAAGCCUAGCAGCAUCGACAAACGCAAAAAACAGAGUCACCUCUGAAAAACCCCCCAAUAAAACAAAACUGGGCUACCUAAUAUCGCACGAAUUCAGACCUUCCCUCCUCUCCUGACCGAUAGAGGCCUAAAGAAAAGCAAUCCAUAAGACAAGAACGCAGAGUGGAAGCCAAUUACCUUGUCGGGGAGGACCAUUUUCGUCGAUAUCGCAGGCGGGGCAAUCGGUAGCUUUCCAGGCGACAAGAAAAAGCGAGGAGCGGAAGAGCAAGUUGCGCGUUUUAUAAUGCCAAAAAAGAUUCUUAAAACUCUUUUUUUAGGUAAUAAAAUUAAGAGGGUCAAACGGUGGAAAGGGAGAGAAUAUCUGACCUGGGAUUUUUUUUGUCCCUGGUAGAAAACUCCAGAGAAAAACAAUGCUUUUUGUGUCCAGAUUCAUUGAACGGUAGAGGAGCGAUGGCGGGUCAGCUCACGGCAUGCCGAUUUUCAGGACAAAGUUCACACCAGACAGGGAUGACAACGUGAUUUGGGUGACAAACAUGAGUUUUUUGUACAGGCUCAUGCGACCUUUCGAGCGAUGGCGAGGCCAGCCCACGGAUUGCCGGCCAGGUAGUAGAGUUUAUCGAGUUACUAUUCCUGCUAUUUCGAUUUCUUAGUUGACGGAUUCAGCAAAAUUUAAAUUGGAAAACGCAAAAAGGUUAAAGCUUGCAAAUCUCAUCUAUCUAAAAAAAAUUGAGAACGACAUUUAGAUUGUUAUAAGUAUGAUUAUUUAUAGAUAAAUUACGACGGUACCUAUAGAUAUUCUUAUCAAACCACUUGUUCUUAAAAUAGCGAGAAUAUAAAACUAGUAUAACUCUAAAUGAGGUUUGUACUUCUUUUGUUAGAGAGAUUAGAAAGUUUUGAAAAAAUAAAUAUUUAAGUGGAACUAUUGUAACAUUUAUAAAGAUAAAAAAAAUUAACAAAAGGGUAAAAAUAAAUGAAGUUUUAUUUAUUUAUUUAGGAAAUGGAUUGAAAUUAAGGGAUAUUCUAAAAUAUGGGGAUGGUGUGAUUAUGAAAACUUCUAAAUAGUACCAAGUGAAGAAUGACUAGUUUAAUUUUGUUAUUCAAAGUUGAGUCCAUAGAUCACAUUCAACGGCAUUGAACAUAUUUUCAUAUAGUCCAAGAGGUAAAGUGAACAUAUACCACAUUAAACAAUUUAAAAGUUUAGGAACAACAUUGUCUGAACAUUAAAAGUUUAAAAACUAUGUUGGACAUUGUGUCAUUUUUCUAUUAUUAAAUACUCAAAGCUUAACGUACAGACGACGAUUCUGAUUCCUCGAAAAGCUACUUGCAUGUCAUAGCCAUUUGCCUUUUUCAUGCCCCCAUUUAAAAAAGAAAAAGAAAAAAUAGUUGCGUAUCCUAAUUGCUAAUUUCUUUGUAAGACCUACCUUAUUCUUAAAUGAUUAUCGAUUUUUCGCCUUGGGUUUUUUCAGUUAAAAGAAACUCUUCUUUCCGUUUCUUAAUUUCUCCUAUUUUUAUCACUUUUUUUUUUGGCUCAACCUCGACUAGGGAAAGCUCAGUUGAGCGAGGUAUAUUUUGUUCUAGCAAGCCACCCAUGCCAUGGCGGCUCGUGAAUCUGAGGCCCACUCUUUUUUUUUCCAAUGAUAAUCGAUCGCAUUAGUCAUGUUGUGCGACCGCCCGACAUAGAUCGGGCCCCCCCGCGCAUCUAGUGAAUGUAGAGGACGGUAAGUAGAUUGGGUUAUGCUCAUUAAUACGCCUCCGACAGACCUACAUCCUCGUACAUUAGAAGUGUCGCUAGCAGGUGUUGACCGUCAGACUUAGCAAACGAGCUUGACAUUGGAAGUGUAGAGCAGCUUAAGAGGGACCAACGUCGUCAGUGGGAUUAUUAGGCAGAAAAUAGACAUCAGUCAUUUUAGGACAUGUAAACAAUGCAAGUGCAUUGUCUGAUUAAUUUUCAAACAAGAUCAUUCACCAAAGGAUAAGUUAAACAAGCAAUGGAACAUAUGAUCAUGACCCAGGUCUAGUUCCACAACAUGGGCAAACACGAAAAGAAUGUGUAUAUAUAUGUUUGUAUGUAUAUUAUCCUGGAGCAAGCUGAUGAUUAUGCGGCAUAAUAUUCUGAAUUGAAUUAGAUGAAUCGCCACAUACCAUAUAGGAGAAUCCACCCUCCACACAGAUUUUCUUCAAUUCUUCAUCAUCUAUUUCAUAGUUGUCAGAAUCCCAUAGAAAACUGAAGUAGCGAAAUUCUGCAAGAACAUGAUAGCCCCUAAUGAAUUGGGAAAACAGAAUUAUUUCAUUGUGUCUCACAAUAGUGCUUCCUCAGAAUGCAUACCUUCAAGCUGCUGCUCCAACUCCAAGGAAACAAAUUCCUCAGAUUCACGGUGAUGCGGAAGUCUUUGGUCUUCAUUGCCGUCAUCCAUAUAACAUGCUUGAAUGAAUUCCUCUCCAGGAUCCUAACCAGCACAAAGUUUGAAAGCAUUACCCCAAAUGCAGAAGAGGCAUUAAAGGACCCACGAUAUAUCACAAGAUUCACGACACAAAUUUGACCACCCUCCUCCAUCCUCAAGGAACGACGCUAACGGUUCUAUCCGAAAAUUGUUUUCCUGCCUAAAUUUUAUUGGUGGAUAAGGCUUUUAUAGUUUCCUUGUUCUCAUGCUUAGAUCGUGACCACUAAUACAGAAUCCAUCGUCAAAAUAACCCAUGGCUACCAAACCAAUUUAUCAGAUACUCUAAGGGGCUGCAUGUUUUUAUUUCUUUUUUCUGUUCAAGAACAAAAAUUUUGUUUUUUUUUCCCGGGAAUAAAAAAAGAACAGAAACGCGUUUGUUUGCAUUUUUGUUCAAAAUCAGUUUUUUUGUUCCCGAAACACAAAAAUAACAGAAAUGAGAAACAAAAAAAAAUUUGUUUCUUGCUCCAAAAACACUUCUCCAUAAACACUUUUUUCUUCUUUUCUUCUCUCUCCUCUUUUCUUCUUCUUUUCUUCUUUGGCCGGUCGCCGGCCUCAGCCAUGGCCGGCGACCGGCCGUCGAGGGUCAGUGACCUCGCCGGAUCGUCGCCGGCCCCCAGCGAGGCCGAGUGUCACCGACGCGAGCAAGGCUGCCGACCGAAAGAAGAAAAAAUAAAAAAGAAAUGAAAAAAGGAAAAAUAAAAUAAAAAUAUUUAAAAAGUAAAAGAAACAAAAAAAGAAUAUAAAUUUACCGAACGGGUUUCUAUUCAUUUUUUAUUCCCGGAACAAGUUUACCAAACGCAUCUUUCUGGUCAAAAACUGUUUCUCGGAACAGAAACGCUUUUUUUUAUUUCUGUUCCCUAGAACAAUUUUUGAACAGAAGUAUUACCAUUCGCGCCCUAAAUUAACUGAAAUACAUGCAAAUGAAUACCAUGUAUAGUGAAUUGAUCUUCAUAAUACGCAAACCGGUGCACGCUGUACUGUUGAAGAUUACAUUUACACCAACGGCGGACGUAAAGCUCGGUGGUUUGCCUCCUUCUGUUUACAAGCUUUGAACAUCUCUUCUGUUUCAAUCACGACUAGCCUCUUUACCUAAUCAUGUAAUAGAUUCUUCAAGUAAGCAAAUAACAUUGAUAAACAAAACUAAAAUGCAGUAACUGACUAAUCAUUACUUGUUGCAACAUUCCCCUAACGGUAGGGGUGUUCCACCUCAUAACAGUUCGGUUGCACUUGCCAAGCCGCAGCGCCUCCGAUGUAUGCCGGUGAAGUCUUCUUGUUCCAGGAAUGGCUCUAACCAAGGUUAUGUAUAAGUUGGGGCUGCAUGCAAUCGGCACGCAAGCCUUGUAAGCUUUGAAGGAAUUCAUGCUUUUCCUUUUCUCAGCAACAUUGAAGGGGACAUCAAAAUUAGUUUUUUCCAUGACAAACCCCAGACAACUAUGUUUGGACUACUAGAAUGAACACACAGCACACCCGCACAUACAAAAUAAACGAAGGGCGUGCAUGGUUGUGUUCUUUUUUUCUUUUUUUUUUCUGUUUAUGAACAAAUAUUAUGUUUUUUUGUUCCCAAAACAAAAAAAUAACAGAAACGCGUUUGUUUGCGUUUUUAUUCAAAAUCUGUUUUUUUGCUCCCGGAACAAAAUUGGAACAGAAAUUAAAAAAAAAAAAAGUUAUUUUUUUGUUCCAGAAACACUUUUGAAGAACAAGUUUUAUCUCUCCUUUCUUUUCUUCUCUUUUUUUUCUUCUUCUUUUCUUCUUCUUUUUUCUUUGGCCGGUCGCCGGCGACCUCGCCGAAGCAUCACCGGCCCUCGGCGAGGCCGAGCGUCACCGGCUCCUGGUGAGGCUCGGCCUCGCCUUGGCUGGGCGAGCUGAGGCCGACAAGCCUUGCUGUGGCUAGGUGAGGCUGCCAGCCCCCGUCGGCCGGUCGCCGGCCUCAGCAUGGAUAGUGACCGGCCAAAAGAAGAAAAAAAUAAAAAAUAAAAAAGAAAGAAAAAAAAUGAAAAAUAAAAUAAAAAUAUUAAAAAAUUAAAAGAACAUAAAUUUACCAAACGUGUUUCGGUUCUUUUUUUAUUCCCGGAACAAGUUUACCAAACGCAUUUUUCUUGUCAAAAAUUGUUCUCCGGAACAGAAAUAAUUUUUUCUAUUUCUGUUCCCUAAAAUAAUUUUUGCACAGAAACACAAACAAACGCAUCCAAAGAUGCUGCCAAAGAAAAGCAAAAUACUAUUACACAACUGGGCAAAUAAGAAAUAUCUCACCAAUCACUUACUCCUUGAUUUUUCACAAUGAUCAAUUAUAGAACAGAACUAAUAUACAUGAAUAAAAAAAAAAACUAGCAAAGUUUCAGAAGGAACCAGUUAGAUUUAUUUGCAAGAGACUAUGAGAAGCGACACCGUAAAACAUUUUUUAAUUAACAAUACAUUACUAGGCAAGGUCACAUUUAGACGGCAAUCUUUAAUCUAGUGAUUCAACCAUUUUAGAGUAACUUGAGAUGCUGCUUGAUCAGCUCGGUGAUUGAAUAUUCAAUGUCUCAUUCUAGCUUGGCAAAGAUUAAAGCAGGCAUAUGGAGCAAGAAGCCCAAAUGCUUUGCGUCUCUUCCUAUUUGAGAUGUGGGAUAAGAUAUACUCUCAAACAUUGUAUUAUGUUUGCUCAUUGUCCUUUUCUUGUUUCCGUCUCUCCUCAAGGAAAAAGUGCGAAUUUCCGGACACAAAACAACUAGAGUUAGUAAAAGUUCAAGCUCCUAUCUGAAAACCAUUCCACUUUUUUGUACGACUAGAAUCUUCCCUUCAAUGAGCUUUAAGGGGGAAAAUUGAAAGGAAAUAGAGACAAGGUUGAUCAGAAAAAUGUAGCAAGAGUAGCAAGCCCACGAUACUGGUUCCGGCCAUGGGAAAGCUACGCAAAAUCAUCCAUGAUGUUCGAAACGGAACCUUCAAACUGCGCCAUCACAAACCUAAGAACCCGAGGCUCUACAUUCCUCCUUUCUCCCCCCUCAAUUGGGCAGAAACACAACACCAAGGCUCUCAUAGGAAUAUGGUCGAACACCUUGCGGGCACGGGGAGCUCAACACAAAACAUUCACCACCGACCCUCAUCCCCCCAACUGGAAUUGCACAAGAACUACAUCCUAAGGCUCCGUUCGUUUCGCAGAAAAUAAUUUCUAGGAAAAUGUUUUCUGAACCUCCGAUGUUCGUUUCAUGGAAAAUAAAUUUCUUAGGAAAAUAUUUUUCAUGAAAGGAAAAAAGUCUUCUAAAUUAAAAUAUUCUAAAUUAAGAGAAAAUGUAUUCCACUUUUGAAGAGUGGAAAACAUUUUCCUCACUCGAUCUCUCUUAUCUCACACCUCUACAAAUCCUCACUUCUUCCUCCUCUUUCCUUUUCUUUUUUUCUUUUUUUGUUUGAAUUAUUUUUUAAAUUUAUUUUUCUUUUUUAAUUCAAAUUAUUUUUAAUUUCAUUUUUUUCUAUUUCAUUUUUUUUUUCUUUUCUUUGUUUCCCAUCUUCUUCUUUCUUAGCUAUUCAUCGGUCGUUGCCAAGAGAACCUCAAGCUCGUCAAUCUCAAGCCCGUGCUCUGCACUCUUGCUUAUCAUUUUUUUUAGGGAAAAAGCUACGAAAAAUCCUGAACUUUGCCCAAUAUGACACAUUUACCCCAAAAAUUUUUUUGUGAUGUGAAAAACCCCACACUUUUCAAAUUGUGACACAUUUACCCCAUUAAGGGCAUUUUUGUCUUUUUUUUUCUUUUUUUCUUCUUUUUCCCUCCGCCAGCCAUGGCGAAGGGAAGCCGGCAUCCAACAAGGGCCUCCCUCGCCAGACUAGCGAGGGCGGCCCUCGCCCGCGACUGGCGAGGACAACCCUCGCCGGAUCUGGCGAGGGGCCGGCGUCAAGCGAGGGCAUCUGGUGAGGACGGCGAGGGGUGCCCUCGCCGGCAUCGAGCGAGGGUCAUCCUCGCCAAACGCAGGUGAGGGUGUCCCUGCCCUCGCUAGAUCUGGUGAGGGCUGUCCUCACCCGUCGCCGGCGAGGGCAGCCCUCGCCGAACGCCGGCUUCCCUCCGCCGGCCGAUGGAGGGAAGAGAGAAGAAAAGAAAAUUAAAAAUUUAAAAAAAUGAAAAGACCAAAAUGCCCUAUAAUUUUGGGGUAAAUGUGUCACAUAACAAAAGUUCAAGAUUUUUUGUGUCACAAUUUUUUUUUUGGGUAAAUGUGUCACGAUUGACAAAAUUUAGGGUUUUUCACGUCAUAAAAAAAGUUUGGAGUAAAUGUGUCACUUUGGGCAAAAUUCAAGGUUUUUCAUGGCUUUUUUCCUUUUCUUUAUUUAUUCUACUAUGCAGUAGAGCUCUAUAUGCUUUGCUUAUUUUUUCUUUUGUUUAUUAGAACACAAAAGACACAGGGGAGAACAUGUCACUCAAUUGGAAGAUUCUCAUGAAAGCUGUACAUGCUUUACUUCUUUUCUCUUUUGCUUCUUUUUAAAAUCCAUACGAACAUUUUUUAAAAUAGAUAAGCAUUUUGCGACAAUAAGGGAAUAAAGAUAUGAAGUAAGUUUGACUGAAUUUAAAGACAAGUUUAUUUUUGAUGGAUUUAUAGAUUGGUAAGUAAUGUAUGCCUAAGUGAUGAAGUCUUAGAAAAUAUUUUCUUUACUGAAUAUCGGAAAAUAUUUUCCGAAACUUUUUCAAGUUUUAGCCGAACAUCAUAAAAUAUUGUCAUUUUCUUGAAAAAUAACUUCUGAGAAAAUAUUUUUUGGAAAUGAUCCAUUUUCCACAAAACGAACGGACCCUAAAAGAACGAAACAAAAUAGCCAACGCGUUGAAAUUUGACAUUCAUUGACUCAUCCACAGACUGGCUCUUCUUGUUAUAGACUCUGUAGGCUUUGCUUGAUGUAGAAUAUCCAAGGAAGAUGCAUUUAUCUGAUCUUUCUUCAAACUUACCAACUCGAUCUUUUGCAUUUUUCAAUAUAAAGCAUUUGCAACCGAAUACAUGAAAGUAUGAAACAAUAGGCUUCUUAUAUUUGAAUAGCUCAUAAGGGGUUUUCUUUAGAAUAGGUCUUAAGAAGACUCUAUUGAUGAUAUAGCAUGCUGUUAAAACAGCUUCAGCCCAAAAUCGUGAAGAAAUCUUACUUUCAAUUAAAAGAGUUCUAGCCAUUUCUUGAAGAGAUCUAUUCUUUCUUUCCACAACUCCAUUUUGCUGAGGAGUAUAUGGAGAGGAGAACACAUGCUUAAAGCUAGAUUCAUUACAAAAUUUUGUAAAAUCUUGAUUUUCAAAUUCACCUCCAUGAUCUGUUCUUAUACUUGAGAUAACACAUCCUUUUUCAUUUUGAACAUUUUUAGCAAAUUUUUCAAAAUACGAUAAGGUUUCGGACUUACUUGCAAGGAAAUAUACCCAAGUAAAGCGGGAGUAAUCGUCCACAAUUACUAGGCAAUAUUUCUUACUUCCAAUGCUCUGGGUUCUAGUUGGUCUGAAGAUAUCCAUAUGCAGCAACUGUAGUACAUGAUUAGUAGAUACAUGAUUUAUUGGCUUGAAUGAAUUUCUUACUUGCUUUCCCAGAAUACAUGGAGUGCAUGGAUCAAUCUUUUGGUAUGGUAAUUUGGGUAGACCUCGAACAAGCUGCUUUGAUGAGAUUUUGGCUAAUUGCUUCAUAUUGACAUGACCAAGCUUUCUGUGCCAUAAGCUUGCUUCGUCUUGAAUUGAGAUUAGGCAUUGCGAUUCAUUUGGUUUCACAUCCAGAAGAUAGAUAUUUCCAUGUCUUCGACCCAUGAAAGACUGAAUAGAGUCUUUACUAAUUCCAGAACAUGUUCCUUCUUGAAAGAAGAUCUUAAAACCAGUAUCACACAAUUGGCUAAUGCUGAGAAGAUUGUAAUUGAGUCAUUCUACUAGGGAAACAUUACUUAUUGUGAGAUUUUCAAUUUUCACAGUUCCAAAUCCCACAAUACUUCAUUUGCUGUUUCCUCCAAAUGAAACUUUUCCACCAUUUACUUGAACAAGCUUUAUGAAGCAAUUUGAGUUUCCUGUCACGUGUCUUGUGCAUCCACUGUCAAGAUACCACUUUACAUUUUUCUUGACGGAGACCUGCAUUUAAAAUAGAGUCUCAAGCUUUCUUUGGUACCCAAAUUUUCUUGGGUCCUUUGGUGUUAGUAAGAUAAGCAGUAUUAGUCCAUACUUUCUUAACAGGUUUCCAAACCAUAGGACACUCUUUUUCAAAGUGAUCUGGACUGUUGCACUUUGAACACCUGAGGGCAUUCCGACCUACAGACUUUAUAAAAACUUUCUUGAAAUGAUUUUUGUAAGCCUCUCUCGAGGGUCUUUUCUUAAUUCUUUCUUUUACUUUAGGAAAAUCAAUCAAGGGAAUUGUUUCUGCUAUCAUACCUAGACCGGACUUAUUGAAGUAAGGUCUUUGAGCUGAAAGAAUUUUUUUAAGUUUUUCGGACCCUAUUGAAAAUUUCUUUGAAAUAUUUGAUAAGUUAGUUUUUAAAAGGGCAUUUUCUUUCAAAAGAUUAUCUUCAUUUUCUUUAAGAGUGGAAACAGUCAAGUUUAAACUUUUAACUCUUUCUUCUAAAACGUUUUCCUUUUGUUUUAGAGCUGAGUUUUCCUUUUUAAGUUCGGAAAUUCUUUUGAAAGAAGUCUUAAGACUAAACCACAGUUCAUCAAUGUAUUUAGAAACUUUGACAGGAAUUUUAAAAUUACCUACCUCAAAUUCACUGUCUGAGUUUGAUCCAGAAUAUGAGUUUGAUUGUGCCAUCAAACAUAGGUUGGCAUAUUCAUUAUCACUUUUUUCACACUCUGUAUCACUCCAGGUUUCGGCUUUGAGAGCUUUUCGAAACUUUUCAGCUUUUCAUCUCUUCUUCUUCAGAAGAGGACAGUUGGGUCUGAUGUGUCCAUUUUUCUUACAUUCAAAGCAAACUACAUCUUUGUUUGGUUCCUCAUCAUCAACAAACUUGGUCUGCUGUCUUUGAAAACUUUGUUUCUUUGAGUUGAACCUUCUUCAUUUUCUAUUCAGUUUUCUGAAUCUUCUUAUCAUGAGAGCAAGCUCCUCAUCGUCCAUAUCAUCUUCAGAAUCUGUAUCAUCAGAAUCAUCAUUUGAUUUUAAUGCAAUGGAUUUCUUACCUUUUGGAUCUUCAUCUUCAUUAAUUCGUUCCACUUCAUAAGACUGAAGAAUUCCAAUCAGCUCGUCGACAGAUAGUGGCAUAAUUCUUUGCGUCUCUCUUAUUGAAGUCUUUAUGUGAUUCCAAUCCUUGGAGAGUCCACACAGUAGCUUGUUUACCUUCAUGGGAUCAGAAAUUGUUUGUCCUUGAUUCUCAAGACCAUUGACAAUAUUUGUAAAACGGCUAAACAUGUCAGUUAUAGAUUUUCCUGGUUUCAUUUUGAAGGCUUCAUAUUGACUGAGGAGAAUGUUAAUUCUGGUUUCCUUCACUCGAUCUGUUCCUUCAUAGGUGAUAUGUAAUCUGUCCCAAACUUCUUUUGCUGUAACACAAGAAGAUAUUAUGUUAUAUUCAGUUGGUGACAAAGCACAAUAUAAAGAGUAAAUUGUUUUUGCAUCAAGUGCUUGUCUCUUGAUUAUCUCUUCCUGAGUCAUUCCGCUGGUCUCAACAGUUUCUUUCCCUCUUUCAGAGACUGAUGCAGCUGUAGGAGUAAUUUCUUUUUCUACAACGUCCCAUUCCAGAGGAUCCUUUGAUUGUAGGAAAGCUUUCGUCUUGUUCUUCCAGAUGUUGUAAUCCUUUCCAUCAAAGUAAGGUGGUCUGGUAUUGCUUUGCCCUUCCAUCAGCCAUGGUGCUAGCAUACUAGCCAUGGAUCUUUUACUCUGAAGUAAAACACUUCAAAUAAAGUGAGUACACGAGCUCUGAUACCAAUUGAUAUAGCUAGUAUAAGUACUUAGAGGGGGGUGAAUAAGUAUAUAAAUGAUUUUUCUCGAUAAUUGCACAAUACUAAACAGUUGAUAGAUUUGAGACAAAUAAUAAUCAAAGUAAGACUGAGAGAAGAGAAAAUUGAACACGCGGUUUAUAGUGGUUCGGCUUAUUUCAAGCCUACGUCCACUCUUCUGCACUGAUAGCUUAUUGGCUGGAUUCCACUAUGAACAAAGAGAUGUUACAGCGUUGUUCUCCCUUGAUUUCUCGGUGUAGAUGAUCUACCACACUCGCUCAAGGUAUCACUAAGUAUAGACACUUUUUGAGUAUACAAUUUUGCUCAAAAUGUAUCGACUAAUAAUCAAGGUGCUUCAGACUCUGAAAUUUCUCUAUCGAUCAUGCACUAAAGCAACUAGAAUGUCUUCCUUUUAUACUCCUUUAUGCCAUCAUACCCGUUGGCACUUACCAAAGGAAUUCCUCCAAUCUACCCAUUGGACGUAAUCAAUCAAGAAGAUCAUUUGAGCUAUUAAAGGAACCUGACGAUAGCCCAUCAAUCCUGCCCGCCCAUACAAUCAGGAUCUUGGUUUCCAAGAAUAGAACAUUCUAAGAAUAUUUCGUCGACCAUCGGAUCUUCAAACGAUCUUGAUUACGAAUAAAAGAAUCCGUUAUAUUUAUCCAGCCAAGAGAUCUUCUCCAGAGGAUAGGACUAAAUCCUCAACCAAAUACUUCGGCUCUGGAUUGCCUUCGUCACUGGAUUAGAAAAAACUAUCAAUGAGAAUAGUCUUGAGUCUUGAGUGCUGAGUCUGGUGAUCUGAAAGUCUUCAAACUCUAAACAGAAGGUCUGUAUUUAUCCAGACUAGACUGAUAGAAACGUUUUAUCAGCUUCAAAAUAUUAUGGAAAGAUUUCUCCAACAUCGACCUCACCUGCCCUUGCCUCUAGCCGGUCACUGACCGUCAGUGAGUAAUAAUUUCAUUUCUAGCCCGACUCGCCAUGGAUGAUGUUGAGGGAUAGAUGUAAGUUAUGUGAAAAUGGACGCGUGGAUAUUCACACGUUCAACUCCUUUCAAUAUACUUGCUUUCAAACUAUAAUAACUUACUCAUUGGUAAAAAAAGAUAAGAGGUUUCGUCGGCCCAAAAAAGUAGAUAUUUAGAGGAUGAUUACAAAAUCGAUCUACCAAUAAUGAUAACAAAAUCUAACAAAAUCCAUAUAUUUGUCGCAUCCGGAAGAAAACGUUGUAGGUCAUUUAUAGUGGUCAAGGCAAAAUAAUAACAAAUAUCUGUUUAUCCUUAGGAAGGCUGUUCAUUCAAAAUUACCGGAGGCGAACGAGUCAAUUCUCUCUCAUGGCAAGUGAACAAGAUGGGAAAUUUCCUGAUAUUCUGCAUAUGAAAAUUCAUGUGGAGUUUAUUCUUACCUUUACCAAAAAAAAAAAAAAAUUCAUGUGGAGUUCCACAGUCGCACGAGCAAUAUAAAUCCACAUGUUCGCUCCCAGUCCCUCCACCCCUCGAAAGAAAACGAUGUUGGUCAUAUAUAGUGAUCAAGGCAAAAUAAUAGCAAAUAUCUGUUUACCCUUAGGAAGGCUGUUCAUUCAAAAUUACAGAAGGCGAACGAGUCAAUUCUCUCUCAUGGCAAGUGAACAAGAUGGGAAGUUUCCUGACAUUCUGCAUAUGAAAAUUCAGGUGGAGUUCCACAGUCGCACGAGCAAUAUAAAUCCACAUGUUCGCUCCCAGUCCUUCCACCCCUCGUCUUCACAACCCCUAAAAGACAGGGAUUCACUCGAGACGCAGAAACAGCGAAAAAACACCGUCGCCACCGGCGAUGUUCAGCUUCAACGUGUCACCGCUACUCUCCUUCACGCCCUCGCUGGCCUCAAUCACACUCGUCCUCUUCAUCACCUUCCUCACCUUCAAAUGCCUCCGCUUCCUCUUCUCCUCUGCCGCUGCUACUAACCUUCACCUUCCGCCGUCACCACCGAAGCUCCCUAUCAUCGGGAACCUCCACCAGCUCAGCGAUUACCCUCACCGCUCGCUCCAAGCCCUGUCGAGACGCUAUGGCCCCUUGAUGAUGCUCCACUUCGGAAGCGCGCCCGUCCUCGUCGUAUCUUCCGCCGACUGUGCCCGGGACAUCUUGAAGACCCACGACCUCAUUUUCUCCGACCGACCCAGUAUAGGCUAAGCCUGUCGAUCAAUGUUCGUGCAUCUUAAUUCUCUGUUAAGAGUUAUAUUUUCUGGCAUUUAUGAUGGAGAACGUCACGUGGACUACAGAUAUGGACAUUGACCUUGUGCCGAUUCAUUUCAUUUCUUCNNNNNNNNNNNNNNNNNNNNNNNNNNNNNNNNNNNNNNNNNNNNNNNNNNNNNNNNNNNNNNNNNNNNNNNNNNNNNNNNNNNNNNNNNNNNNNNNNNNNNNNNNNNNNNNNNNNNNNNNNNNNNNNNNNNNNNNNNNNNNNNNNNNNNNNNNNNNNNNNNNNNNNNNNNNNNNNNNNNNNNNNNNNGCAUCGCUCGGUGGACCUUACCGAUUGUGUGCGUCGUUUACGAACGACAUCAUAUCCCGGACGGCUCUUUGGAGGAAGUACAGCGAAGACAUGCGGGGCAAGAAGUUCAAGGGACUGUUAGCGGGAUAUGAUGGGGUUGCCUGGGCAUUUUCAACGUUGGGGACUUCAUUCCGAGCCUUGGGUUGAUCAACAAGCUAACUGGUCUAGACGCAAAAGUGGAGCGGGUCGCGAGGGAGUUCGACCAGUUCCUCGAUGAGGUGGUGGAGGAGCAUCGGAGGAAGAUGGAGGAGAAGAGCAUCGGCGGCGGAGGUGAAGAUAGGAGAGACUUUGUGGACGUUUUGCUGGACAUUGAGAAGGACAAAACUGUUGGUUUUGCUUUUGGUGCGGAUAGCAUCAAAGCACUCGUCUUGGUAAGCUCCCUCUUUUCUCCACCAACGAUCUCAUGCAAUCAAAUUUUUUUCUUUCAAGAUAAUUAUUGGAUGAUCUUGGGGCUAUUUCAUCCCAAAAAUUUAAAGAAUGAAGCCUUCUCUCAUAUCUAUAAAUUGAUAUGAAGUUUUCUCUUAUAUCUAUAAAUUGAUCACUAAUUUUUUCCACAACCGACUUAGAAUAAACCCCAACAACAAUAUUGUCCACUGUACUUUUUGAAGAAAAUUUUCUCCAACCAAUUGUUUAUAAAUGAAUCAAAAAUAUAAACUAUACUUACAUUUAGUUUAACUUAAUUAUGGAUGAUGUUCAUGAUCAUUUGUUUUUUGUCCCUACCAAAAUUAGUCGGGUAACCGAGUUGAUGAUUUAAUUAAGAGAAUUCUAAAGUACAAAUUACAAUUUCAUAUGAUAAGUUCUCGUUAAUUUGGAAAUAUCUCACAAUUUUAGAUACUAAUUUUUUAAGUCAUGGUAGAAUUUGUAAGUCUCUCUCUAUAUAGCUUCAUUCAGCUGUGAAGACUCGUGUUUCGAAGAGUACUUAUGAGUCAUAACUGAAUGAAGCGAUAAGCAUCAUUAGUUAUCCAUGAUGAUUGAUUAUCAAGUACACUUGUGCUUGUGCAGGAUAUAUUUUCUGCUGGAACUGAUACAACGUACACAGUCCUGGAGUGGGUAAUGACCGAGCUCUUAAGGCACCCUUGUGCCAUGAACAUUCUCCAAACUGAGGUUCGCAAAAUCGCCAACGGCAAGCCUAACAUAACCCAUGCGGACUUGGAGAAAAUGCAUUACUUGCGAGCAGUCCUCAAAGAGACUCUCCGCCUACACCCUCCGAUCCCGCUCCUCGUCCCACGACUGUCGACCCGGGACGUCAAAAUCCAAGGCUACAACAUCGCAGCGGGGACUAUGGUGAUCACGAAUGCGUGGACCAUCGGGAGGGACCCCAGCACGUGGGACGAGCCGGACAAGUUCAAGCCGGAGAGAUUCUUGAACAGCUCGGUGGACUUCAAGGGACAGGAUUUCGAGCUGAUUCCUUUCGGUGCUGGGAGGAGGGGUUGCCCCGGUACGUCAUUCGCGAUGGCGACGAACGAACUUGUCUUGGCAAAUCUGGUGAACAAGUUCGAUUGGGCACUGCCCGAGGGUCUGAAAGCGGAGGAUUUGGACAUGACCGAAUGCACUGGUCUUACCAUCCACAGGAAAGUCCAUCUCCUUGCUGUUGCCACUCCAUUCCCUAGUUAAGACCAUCGUCAUUACCUUAUAUGUAUUGUUGUAAUAUCGUGGCGAAUGUUUGUGUAAUGAUUUUUUACUGUAAUCAAUUUGUAAUGAUUUUCAUCCGUCAUUAAUCUAUAAUGGUUUCGUAAUGUUUUAUAAUAGCUUAGUAACGGUUUUGUACCAAUUUGCGAUUGAUUUGUAAUGUUUUUUAAUUAAAUGCAAGAAUUGAUGAUGGAUAAUGGCUCUCUUUGUUUUUCUUUUUUCAAUUACAAAUUGUCAGUCCAUACAUAAUUGAAAAGUGAUAGAUAUAUCAAAGUAAGAAAUUCCUGUUUCUCUUUAUUUUUGAGAGAAUUACUAAAAAAGUCUGAAAUUGAUCACAAUUGUGUCAAUUCGGUUAUAAAUUCUUUUCUUCUUUUUUUGGUCAAUUGAGUGAUAAAAUUUUUGUAUGUGUCAAUUCACUUCAUCCAAUCAAUUUUGUCUAAUAAUUGCUGACAUGGACGUCGACUACGACUAUCGUACGUGGUACGACCGUAGUUACAUUAAUAUUUUUUGAACUACUUUUUUAUUUAUUAGUUUUUAUCUCUUCUUCGUUGCUCUGUAUGGCAGCUGUGCAAUGCAAGGACCAACCAUCAUCACCAACUCGGAACAGCUUCUAUACCAAAGCACCAGCCGUGACCCAUUCCGGUCUCUACUCUGCCAAACCAACUGUAAUGGCAAUGUUUGAUUCACAGCCGUGAUGAUCAUCUCGAGAAACCUUCUCUGAGAUAUUUAAUCAAAUCCCCAUUAAGGACAAACCCAUAAAAGUUCAGCUUUGAACGAUUUUUGUUUACUAAACUGUGAAAGUACAAUUGAAUUUUCUACAAACAAAUCAGAACACGGAAUCUACUAAAAGAGGGAAACUUGAAUCCGAGAUGACAUGAAGGUGACACUAACUUAAAAGCCAAGCACAAUUCGACAUGUCUCGUUCCGUUUCCAAUCUAUGAUGACACUGACCCAUAAACCACUUAUCAAAAUGAGGCGGGGUCGCAAGAGGAGCACGCCAUCUUCUUGGUUCACGCUUCGCGUCGCUCUUGCAGAUCAGAUAAAACAAAUUUGUAUUAGAAUUUCUGUCCAUUUCGUUCUUGGACAAAUGAACUACGGAGACUCCUUUUUUCUGGCUGAUAGACGAAACUAGCAAGGUCAUCAGAGAGUGAUAGUUCCAUUUCAAGGCAGAGUUGCGGUCGAUGAUGUUGAUAUUUUUGUAAGUUCUGUGAAAAUGGAUGCGUGCAUCUUUGCGCGUUCAACUCCUUUUAGUCGACUUGCUUUCAAUCAAUCAAUUAAAAUAUAAUGAACCCCACAUAUCAUUCCUUACACAUCGGGCAAAAAGACAAUUUUUGCAAAGAGGUACUAUUGUAAAGUUAAGCCUACAGACGGUCACAAAAGAAAUUAGAUAUUAAGACGAUGAUUACAAUAUCGAUCUACCAAUAAUGAUAAUAAUAUUAAUAUAUUUGUCUCAAUUCGGAAGAAAAUCGUUGUUGGUCAUGUAUAGUGAUCACAAGGCAAAAGAAUAGUAAAUAUUUAUUUAUCCUUAGUUAGAGCUGUUCAUUCAAAAUUACCGGAGGGGAACGAGUCAAUUCUUUUUUAUGGCAAGUGAACAAGACAGGAAAUAUCCUGGUAUUCUACAUAGGAGAAUUCACGUGGAGCUCCACAACAGCACGAACAAUAUAAAUUCACAUGUUGUCGCGACCUACCCUCGGGGGGAGGGAACAGAUUUAGGGGUAUUGCCUAAAGGACGGGGCUAAGGCCCAUUAUCAGGCGCGGGCUCUCCCAAGCCCAUACCCCGCGUGACAUUGGGAUAUUCUUUAGGAUUUUUGCACAAAAGGAGUCGCCACUAGCUUAUUGGGGUCGGCUAGAAACCAAGUGAGGUAUGGGAGUAUACCUCACUUCCUACGCAACCAGAGAAUCUAGGUUCGGGGACUUGAUUACACUAAUUAACCAAUUAGUGCCCUUUCGGUACCUAAUCUUGUUCAUUUUAACAAAAUGAUUUUUGACAAGCAGUUUGGAUUAAUUUUAUACUUAUCCACUAACAUACGAGGUGAUCAUGCGGGUGCGCAAUCAUUAAAGUAAUAAUCAUAACUAUCAAGAUUCUAAUUGCCAUAAAAUUAAACACAUGCAAUCAAACAUAAUUAGAUAUGCAAAUUAAACAUGCAACGUAAUCAAAAUACGAGCACAUAAAGGUCUAAUUAUGCUAAAAAUGCAAAGCAUAGCAACUUCUAACCGAACCCCGUUAUUUUUGGAUUUUCGAUUUUUUUUAAAAUUUUUUUUAAAUUAAUUAAUUUUUUUAAUUUUUAAUUAAUUAAUUUUUUAAAAAAAUCGAAUUUUUAAUGUUUUCUGAGUUUUUUGAAAUUUCGGAAAUUUUUUGGAAUUUUUGAAUUUUUAUCAUUUUUUUUAAUUUUUGAUUUUUAUAAUUAAUUUUAUGAAUUUUUUAAUUUUUAAUAUAUAUUUAAUAUUUAAUAUUAUUAUACUUCAAUAAAAUGGGUUCGGACCGGGUAAACCCAAUUCGGCCCGCGGACCCAACCCAAACCCGGAUCCAAUACUUUUGGAUUUUUUUAUUUAAUAUAUAUAUAAAGAUCAUUUCAGUAGUCUUUUCUCACUGCACACUCCCCUUCUGCGAUUCCUCCUUCCCAAGACCAACUUUUCCUUUCUCUUUUUUUUUUUAAAUAUUUUGUUUUACUUUUUCAUUUUUUUAUACUUUUCUUUUUCUCUUUCUUUUAUUCUUUUUUUUUUGGGUCUUCUUCUCCUUCGUGCUUGCCCCUGCACGCCUUCAACCCUCCCGAAAAGGGCCUUCUCCUUCCUCGCGAUAUUCCUCACAAAAAUUCGUUUCUUUACCAAGACUAAUUUGAACAACAACAAUAACCAAAGCACUUAGCAUCCUUUCUAACACCAAACCACCCCGACGCAAAUCAACGCCGGCCAUCUAACUUCGAGGGCUGCUAUACCAUUUUCGGAUGCAAACGCCCACAGCUCAAGCACACAUGAUUAUUUUAUGAAAAUCGCAUGGAAUCAUGAUGAAAACAUGAGAGACAGACAGGAUCCAACAUAUAUACGAACAAGCGCAAAUUAAACCGAGUUUGAACGCGGGUUUUUACUCGGUUCUCUUUGAGACAUUUUGUCAAACACUGGGUGUACAAUAGCUAAAAGAGGGCAUACGGCUCACUUGAGGCUCGAAUCCGAGUAAAGAUCAACACAAUAUGCACUAGGACAUCUAUGAGCUUUCAUGGAGGACCGGUGAAGCCGAAGCUCGCGAGAACAGGUCGGCCGUGAGCUCUGGCCCGAGACUUCGAAGUGAAGCGAGAAGCCUGCCUGGUUCGGAUGGCGAGCUACGAGCGUACUCCAGGCGACGGCGACACGCUCUCUCCCCAAUCGUCUCUCUCCCCAGGGUUUUCCUCCUGCUUUUUCGUCCCUUCUCUCCGCUCGAUUGGCGUCGGGAGCUGCGGCGACGGGUACGAUGAGUCGACGCUCGGAGGGCAGCGGCGACGUCGCAGCUUCGGGCUGCAGGCGUCGCAGGGGGUAGCGGUGGCGCAGCGAGGGCUGCCACCACGACUCCUCCUCCCCUGUGUUUCUUUCUCUCGUUUUCUUUUUUCUCUCUGUUUUUUUUGUGCUCAGUCCCUCCCUGUUUUUCCCCCCUCUGUCUGUUUUCUUCUCUUCUUUUUCUGGUGCAGAUCUUCCCCUGCUUCUCUUCGCGUGCGCGCGAAUCAGCUCCGCGUGCGUCCGAAUCGGCUCCCCCCAACCCGCCGACCUGCCAGCGAGAUGAUGCUGUCUCCUCUACCUUCCCUGCCCUUGCUUUCGGCUUUGCCAUUUACCUAAGCGGACGGUUGCUUUCUGCUUCGCUAGUUCCCCGUGCAGAAAAACGGCUGAGGGAGAAGACAACGGGGUGGGCCGGGCUAGAGGGAAGAAGAGGGCUGGGCCGUGCGAGGGGAAAAGAAAAAAAGAAAAAAUAAAAAGGAAAGGGGAGGGUUUGAGCCGAAGCCCACGCAGGGAGGAAAUAAAAGGAAAAAGGGGCCGGGUCGGGCCAAGGCCGGAUCCGGCCCAACCCGGACCUCACAACUCUUUUUUUUUGUUUUCCUUUUUUUUUAAAGGAAAUUAAUAGCUAAAAUUUUUUGAUUUUGAUUUUGAUUCUAAUUGAUUUUUUUUUAAUACUAUUUGAAAGAUAAAAAACUAGGUGUCAACAGCUGCCCCUCUUUGAAUGUAGCCUCGAAGAGGUUGCAAUCAAAGACAGACGACACCUAAAUUAUUUUUGGCGAUAGAAAGACCCUAGGUGCAUAUGCACAUAUUAGGUCGACGAAAAGGAGUCAUAAUUAUGAAAAUGUGUCUUGUCAAUAAGGUGAAGAAAGACUUCAAGCUGCAGAAGCCCACCAAGUCAUAAAAAGUGAUGAAGACUCCAGGAUACAAGGCUCUCCGGGUCAUAAGAAGUGAGGGAGACACCAGGAUACAAGGCUCUCCAGGUCAUAAGAAGUGAGGGAGACUCCAGGAUACAAGGCUCUCCGGGUCAUAAGAAGUGAGGAAGACUCCAGGAUACAAGGCUCUCCAGGUCCUAAGAAGGGUGGAAGACUCCAGGAUACAAAGCUCUCCGGGUCAUAAGAAGGGUGGAAGACUCAAGGAUACAAAGCUCUCCGGGUCAUAAGAAGUGAUGAAGACUCCAGGAUACAAGGCUCUCCGGGUCAUCAGAAGUGAGGAAGACUCCAGGAUACAAAGCUCUCCGGGUCAUCAGAAGUGAGGAAGACUCCAGGAUACAAAGCUCCCCGGGUCAUAAGAAGGGUGAAAGACUCCAGGAUACAAAGCUCUCCGGGUCAUAAGAAGUGAUGAAGACUCCAGGAUACAAGGCUCUCCGGGUCAUCAUAAGUGAGGAAGACUCCAGGAUACAAGGCUCUCGAGNNNNNNNNNNNNNNNNNNNNNNNNNNNNNNNNNNNNNNNNNNNNNNNNNNNNNNNNNNNNNNNNNNNNNNNNNNNNNNNNNNNNNNNNNNNNNNNNNNNNNNNNNNNNNNNNNNNNNNNNNNNNNNNNNNNNNNNNNNNNNNNNNNNNNNNNNNNNNNNNNNNNNNNNNNNNNNNNNNNNNNNNNNNNNNNNNNNNNNNNNNNNNNNNNNNNNNNNNNNNNNNNNNNNNNNNNNNNNNNNNNNNNNNNNNNNNNNNNNNNNNNNNNNNNNNNNNNNNNNNNNNNNNNNNNNNNNNNNNNNNNNNNNNNNNNNNNNNNNNNNNNNNNNNNNNNNNNNNNNUUUUUUUAGGGAAGCACCCACUAACCCUUAGAAAACUACAUGGCUUCACUGAUGAAUCCUGUCAAACUCAACUUGAGCAAAUGUCAUUAGAGAGGCCAUCAAGAGACGUAUUGGCAAUACUGUAACAUUAAUUGAACAAAAUAAUCAAGCUAAGUCCGAUUGCUUUAGAAAAACAUUCGAUGUCCAUUAGCAUCAUGUGGCACAAAACUGUCAUCUUGCUCGUGGAUAUAUCAUUAAUCAUCAAAUUUUCUAGGAGGCAAGUUCUCAUUAGAACAGCUACGACUCGAGAAAAAGGUUCAUUAAGCAUGCCAAACUAGAGCUUCUUAGUCAGAAAUGGUUUCUCACGCACUCUCAAUAAAAUGGCUACUUGAUCCCAUCCAUUCGUGUGGGAGAUAAUUGAUUGCUAAAGGUUUCUAACAUAACCUAUGUCGAAGGCUUCCGGAAACAUUCGCAAUGAGCACAAUCUGAUCAAUCAAAAAGGUCUUUUGAAAGGAUCGCAAUAUAGGCUCGGUUAGGGCUUAUACAAAGAAAUUAUUGCUUUGAGGCCAACAAAGGAACAUUUGUCACUAUCUUUAUCGGCUUUACAAGUCGAGAGCUUGGAAGAUGAGACAAGAUAAAAUUACUUCCACUCCUUCAAGCAGUAGCUUCUCGGUGGUAUUCUCAUUUUCACUCAAACCAUCCCAAUCAGAAGAGACUUCGGAAGAGGGUUGUAAUGUUGGCUUAGGAGAGGCUCGAAAGGCUUAAAAUUUUCAAGAGGGUUUUUAAGAGUUGGUGAUCAUCAUGACAUCAUGACCAGGUCACUUGACAUUUCCAAAUCAUUUGGCUUUUGAAAUACAACGCAUCUCGAAAGUCCCUUAACUAAUCUUUUGUGCAUGGGAGCUUUGCUCCUUUCUCUAAUGUCCUUUGCUCUUGUGAUGAAUUUUUUUUUUUUUUUGCACAAGCACUUGGACCUUGAUAAUAAUUUUUUUCCACAUAAGAUGCAACUUUUGGCUUUUUUUUUUCUUUUCUUUUUAAUGGGCAUUGGCCUUGCUUUUACCAGGCACGCUGCUUUUUUAUGCCCCCUAGUUUGUAGAACUCUUUGCUCUUUGAACUCUUGGAGCUCUUAUGACUUUUGAGAUGCUUUUCAUAUUUUCUUGUGACUCUCAAUUGUAUUUGGUCAAUUCUCAUGCCUUGCCCCAGUGAAGGGAGAUGAUCACCACUCGGGGUUUAAAAAUGAAUAAUCAGGCCCAAAUUGGUAAAGCAAUGGAUAUGUGUUUGGGUAGAGAAGGAAAUGCUCUUCUUCACUUUGGGAUGAGUCAAGAUCUAAUGAGAAUUCCUUUGAAGCUAUCACCAGAAGAUUGAUACAAGUGAAAGUAAUAGGAUCUUUCCCAAUCCUUUGCUUUACAACACGACUGUAACCUCCUAUGCUGCCCCAAUUUCGGGUUGUCCUCAAUAGGGGUACUUUGGAGGAUCAUCUCUAUUUGGCCUGAAGGGCUAGCAAUGUGUCAGCUUGGUGUUUGGGAUUGGUGAAGGAAAUGCCUUUAUCAUUUCGAUCUUCAUGCUCAAUGCGAAUGGAUCCUUCGUCCUAAGAGAAGGUUAUUUUUCACUCAACUCUUGAAAGUGUUCGAAGGAUGUGUUUGGAAAUGACUUACCUUUCUUCAUCCUAAGCACUCCUUGUUCGGCAUGAUUAACAUUUCAACUUUUAUCCGAAUAACAUCAUUCUUACGAGCUCCCAUCUUCGAGAAUUACCGACAUGAAGCACGUAUAGUGGCACCAGAAAAUAGGUGGUGGGAAUGAGGCUAUGCCCCCCGGUUUUUUUUUUUUGGUUUUUUUUUUUUUACCUCUCAUUUAAGAAAAAGAGAUAUUCAACUGUUUGUGCGGAGACUUGAUGGGUCUUUUGAAUCGACUUUUCCCUCCGCCAUUUUCCUCAUCGAACGGUAAGGUGCCUGAAACACAAAUAGAUAUGCAUGUAUGUGAUAUAUGUAUGAUAUCUAUGAUGCUAUGCAUGAUGCCAUGUGACUCAGAUUGCGCAUGAAGUGGCUCUUCGACCUUGAUUACAAUCAUGGAAAGUAUUUCUUGACUGCAUCUGAGUUUACAGGUCUAGGCAAUUCACUGCCAUCCAUUUCAACUAAAAUCAUAGCACCACCAGGCAGAAUCUUUUUAAUGACAUACGGCCCUUCAUAGUUCGGGGUGAAUUUUCCACGAGGGUCUGGUAUAAUCGGAAGCACUUUCCUCAGCACCAGGUCAUUGACUUCAAAGUAUCUAGGACGCACCCUUCGAUUGAAGGCUUUUGCAACUCGUCUCUGAUAGCAUUGGCCAUGACACACAACUUGCAAUCUCUUCUCAUCAAUCAAGUUUAACUGCUCAUGCCUCUGUUGCAUCCACUCAGUCUCAUCGAGCAUAGAUUGGGAAAUGACCCUUAGAGAAGGGACCUCAACUUCAACAGGUAAGACUGCCUCCAUCCCAUACACGAGUGAAAAAGGAGUUGCCCCUGUGGAGGUGCGGAUAGAAGUUCGAUACGCCAUUAACGCGUAAGGAAGUCUAUCGUGCCAAUCACGAUAAUUUUCGGCAGUCUUCGAUAGGAUUUAUGUUCUUGUUCGCCGCCUCCACUGCUCCAUUCAUUUGAGGACGAUACGGUGACGAGUUCAAAUGCUUAAUUCGAAACUCACUAAACAAUCCAUCUACGACUUUGUUGUUCAAAUUAGUGCCAUUGUCGGUAAUGAUCGCCUCCGGCACCCCGUAGUGAGCGACAAUGUCGCGACGAAUGAACUUUGCCACAUUUCUUGCAGUAACAUUAACAUAUGAAUUGGCCUCGAUCCACUUGGUAAAAUAGUCUAUCGCCACCAGAACAAAUCGAUGCCCAUUUGAAGCUUUGGGGUUAAUGGGCCCAAUCACGUCAAUUCCCCACAUUGAAAAGGGCCAGGGUUGAGACAUUUGGUGAAGCUCAUUUGGAGGGGCAUUUAUCCUAUCUCCAUAAAUCUGGCACCGGUGACACCAUCGUACGUGCUGAAUGCAGUCAGACUCCAUGGUCAGCCAAUAAUAACCAAGUCGCAUGAUCUUUCUCACCAAGAAGUGUCCAUUCAUAUGGGGGCCACACUCCUCUUCAUGUAUCUCUUUCAUCAAACGGUCGGCUUCUUUAGCGUCGACACACCUUAGCAAUGUCGAGUCGAAUGACCUUUUGUAGAUGACAUCUCCACUGGCGAAGAAUUUCGAUGCUAACUCUAUUAAAUGCUUUCUAUCUGCUGCUUCACUUCCUUCGGGAAAUUCACCAUUCUGCAGAUACUUCAAGAUGUCAUGAUACCAAGGCUGUCCGUCCGGUUCUUCUUCAAUCAUCAUGCAAUAGGCGGGGCGCCUAAAGAUUUCAAUUCUUAAUGGUUCAAUGUCCAAGCCUCCAGCUAUUUGUAACAUUGAAGACAAGGUAGCUAGGGCAUCAGCAAACUGAUUUUGAGACAUUGGCAAGUAUUCAAAUUCUAUUUCUUGGAAUUCUUCCAUCAACUUCCCCCGGAACUCAUGAUACGGAAUCAAUUUAGAAUCCUGUGUUCGCCAUUUGCCUUUAGUCUAUAAGAUGAUAAGGGUUGAAUCACCAUAAACCCGCAUCUUUCGGAUCUUCAUGUCAAUAGCAGCUUGGAGGCCGAGAAUGCAUGCUUCAUAUUCGGCAAUAUUAUUCGUGCAAGGGAACAUCAAUUUAGCGGCAACAAGGUAGUGCUGACCGUCUGGGGAGAUAAGAACCGCCCCGGUACCCGACCCAGCUAAAUUAACUGCACCAUCGAAGUACAUCGUCCAUUUGUCACUUGAUACAAGUAAAAUUUGCUCCCCUGCAUCACUAUCUUCGUCAGAUGUCCUGGACCUCUUGGGACUUUCUGCCAACAUGUCUGCUAUGGCACGACCUUUAACGGACUUCUGCCCCAGGCUCUGAACGUCAAACUCUGAAAUUAAUAUUUGCCACUUGGCCAACUUGCCAACCAAUGUCGGCCUCUCCAAGAGGUAUCUGAUGGGAUCGUUUUUGGUCACCAACAGGAUUCGGUGAUGGAGCGUGUAUUGUCGCAGCCUGUGCAAGACCCAAAAUCAAGGCCACACAAGUUCUCUCAACUGCUGUGUAGUUCAUCUCGGAAACAGUAAACUUCUUGCUCAAGUAAUAUAUCGCGCAUUCUCUCCAGUCAUUUGGUUUUUUCUGUGCUAACAUGGCUCCCAAUGAUUCAUCAUGUAUGGUCAAGUACAAAAUUAGGGGAAUUUUAGGGAGAGGGGGUACUAAGACUGGUGCAUGAGUGAGAUAGUGUUUUAUCUUCUCGAAGGCACCCUGACACUCGAUAUCCCACUCAAUCUUUGCAUUCUCUUUCAGGAGUUUGAAGAAUGGCUUCGCUGUUUCAGACAAUUGGCAGAUGAACCUCGCCACAUAAUUGAGCCGCCCCAUCAAGCUGCGGACCUCCUUGGUGGUGGUCGGGGCUCGUAAAUCACAAAUAGCCUUAACCUUUGACCCGACAUAGAGGGAUNNNNNNNNNNNNNNNNNNNNNNNNNNNNNNNNNNNNNNNNNNNNNNNNNNNNNNNNNNNNNNNNNNNNNNNNNNNNNNNNNNNNNNNNNNNNNNNNNNNNNNNNNNNNNNNNNNNNNNNNNNNNNNNNNNNNNNNNNNNNNNNNNNNNNNNNNNNNNNNNNNNNNNNNNNNNNNNNNNNNNNNNNNNNNNNNNNNNNNNNNNNNNNNNNNNNNNNNNNNNNNNNNNNNNNNNNNNNNNNNNNNNNNNNNNNNNNNNNNNNNNNNNNNNNNNNNNNNNNNNNNNNNNNNNNNNNNNNNNNNNNNNNNNNNNNNNNNNNNNNNNNNNNNNNNNNNNNNNNNNNNNNNNNNNNNNNNNNNNNNNNNNNNNNNNNNNNNNNNNNNNNNNNNNNNNNNNNNNNNNNNNNNNNNNNNNNNNNNNNNNNNNNNNNNNNNNNNNNNNNNNNNNNNNNNNNNNNNNNNNNNNNNNNNNNNNNNNNNNNNNNNNNNNNNNNUUACAGGCACGAUAUUCGCUACCCAAUCAGGAUAACGUGUCACUUCGAUAAAAUCUACUUUCAGCAGCUUCAUUACUUCUUCUUCGAUCUUCUUGGACAAUUCUGGUUUAGUUCUCCUGAGUCUUUGCUUCUUGGGUGGCAUAUCAGGAUCUGUUGGUAGAGCAUGUUCCACAAUUUCGGGAUCCAAUCCCGGCAUGUCGGCAUAUGUCCAAGCGAACACAUCUUGAUAUUCUUUCAAAAGAUUAGUCGUCUUUUCCGCCUCUGACUCUGAGAGACAUGCUCCGAUCCUUACUUCUCUGACAUUCUCUGCAUCACCUAAAUUUAUGGUGAUUGUUCGCUCUUCGGUCAACGGCUUCGAUCCUUCAUAUUGAUUCCAUUCGCGUUUGAUCCCCUUUUGAUCGUCAUCGUCAGUGUCAUCGGAACCUGAGAGACUUUCUUCAUGCACGUCCGAGUCAUAUGCGUUCUUAUUAUGAUUAUGCAUAAUGUGAUGCUUUGAAGGGACAACCAUGACUUCAGAGGACUCAGCCUCCUUGCAUGCCAAGAUGGCACAUAUGAUGUCUUCCUCGAAUAGCUCAGUCACACCAUAGAUGUCCCCCUCUUCCUCGACUAACAUCCUUGGAGGUCCUGGAAACGUUUCUUCCAACAACGGAUGAAACAGGCCUUGAUCGCCCUCACCCUCCUCGGUUUGAGCAAUACGUUCACUCCAAUCUCUAUACCCACCUCGGCCUCCUCGAGCAUUUCGGCCUCUCUGCCUUCCACGGGCCCCUCGGUUGCCACGACCACCUUGCUCGCUACGACCUUCUCGCCCCUCAACAUAUCCUAGGCCUCUCCUCUUCGAGUUUUUAUGAGCUUCAAUGGGUUUUCGCACACCCUGAUCGUGUGAUCCAAGGCCCUCUCCAGGAUUAUACCCACUUGCCAACAUAAUCUUUCCCGCAGCUAUGGCCGGCCUAGACAAAUUAGGAGCCUUUGUGAAGGACCCUACAGGCACAUGGACCAUGGAUACCAGCUCGAGGGUUUGAAAGCUGGAUUCCUCGGUACACUCUGGCUCCGCAUAGGGGAUGGCUGUCUCGUGAUAGAUCUUGAAGUCGGAUUCUCCAUGGACCGUGAUAAGCCUGUUGUCCACCACAAAUCGUACUUUCUGAUGGAGGCUAGAGGCAACAGCGCCUGCUGUGUGGAUCCACGGCCUCCCUAGCAAAAAAUUAAAAGCACUUGGUAUAUCUAACACUUGGAACACGGCUUGGAAAAGUACAGGGCCAAUCAGCAGCUCAAGCUCAAUUUCCCCUAUCACAUCUUUCUUCAUCCCAUCAAAAGCCCGCACAGUCGACUUGCCAGUACGGAUUCUCCCAAGAUCAAUACCAAGACGGUGGAGAGUAGCCAAAGGGCAUAUAUUGAGUGCCGAACCGUUAUCAAUCAAUACUCUGCAAACAAGAGUGCUUUCAUGUUUCACCGAGAUAUGUAGCGCUUUGGUAUGAUUAGGACCAUCGGGGGGGAGAUCUUCAUCAGUAAAGGAAAUUUGGUCUUUUAAUAGAACGGCCCCAACGAACUUCUCCAAUUGGACUUCGUCAAUUGACUCUGGCACAUGCACCUAGUUAAGGACUUUUAGCAAGAUGUCCCUAUGCUUCUCGGAAGAUUUGAAUAAUUUCAAGAGGGAGAUUUGAGCCGGCAACUUCCGCAGUUGAUCCACCACGUUGAACUCACUAGACUUUACUACAGCCAAAAAUUGAUUUGCCUCCUCCUCGAUCACGGCCUGAUUGUGUGACAGCAUCUACCUCAUUUGUUCCGUAACCCCAAGGUACAGUUUUGGAAUCGAAUUUGGGAGGAUACUCCAGCAUUACCAUUCCGUCUUCCUCCUGGGGAGGCAAUUCAAUCGUGACCGGCAUUGUGUGUCCUCCCAUGACUUCGAUUGUCGACAUCUCUUCGACCAUAAGGUUGAUCACUGUGGGUUCAGCCAUUUCCAGCUCGAUAUCGCAGGCGAGCUCCUCAUCGGACAAUUCAAUCACCAUCGGGGUAAUCAUAGCUAUCACCCCUUCCUCAUAUAAAGCUGGGGUCUUCGAAAUUCCAUGCAUAGCCUUUCUCGCCCGAGACAUACCAGCAAAGUUGCAGAAAGAUGAGCGGAAUGAUGAUGGCAUUGUCACGGAUACGACAUUCUCUUCCUUUUCUCCGCGUCUGAUUACUCCCAUGGUUAUCAUCCUACGGAUGCGGUUCAAUCUCUCUUCUAGGGUCACAUCCUCCUGGCCUUCAUAGUAUCCCGCUAGCACUAGGGAUUCAUACAACUCGGAAGCAUCCAAUACUAGAGGUUGCUGACUCGCCUGUGUGUCCUCGGAAAUUGAGUUCACUCCCCCUACAUGAUUUGGUAGAGGGUUCUGUUGCACGUUGGGCUGAGCUUCCCUGAAAGUCAAAAUGUUCUUGUCUAGAAGCUGUUGAACUUUGUAUCUUAGUAUGUGACAAUUAUCUACAUCAUGCCCCAUUUCUCCCAUGUGGUAUUCACAGGUCUUGGUUAUAUCGAACCCGGCAAACCUCGGGGGGUUAUCUCUAGGCACCUCCUUUACGACCAUCCUCUUUUCAAGAAGCAUGGGCAAUAAUUUUGACAGCGGGCGUGGUAGUGGAGAAAACCCUUUUUCGAAACGGCCUCUUGCCAUUAUCGAAUGCUUGUGAUGAACUACCUGGAACCGUCGUAGGCUUGUGCGCGGGUGUUGCGGUUGGCCGAGGGAAAUGGGGCUCUUGCACAAGUGCUACUUCAAUUGCGGCCUCUUUAUCUUUUCUUGCUGGAAAUUUCUUCGCGCCUUCGGUUGAAAUCUUUCCCUCAACCAUUGCCCAUUCAACUCCUUCACCUACCUCAACUAGAUGUGAAAAUGUUUGGCAACCCGAGAAUACUAACCCUUGGAAGUAUUCAGAGAGCAAUGUCUUGAGGAACAGCUGCUUCAUCUCCCUCUCAUUCAAGGCCGGCUUCACUUGUGAGGCCAUGGUCCUCCACCUUUGCGCGAAGGCCUUGAAUGACUCAUUCCUCUUCUUCUCAACACGAGUCAACUCCUCCCUCGUGGGGGCAAGCUCAGUGUUAAACCGGUAUUGUUGUAAGAACUCAUUGGUUAAGUCGUCCCAACUAGUGAAUUCUUCAAUGUCCAGCGCAAUGAACCACGUCAGGGCAAUGCCUUCCAAACUAUCUUGGAAUGUGUGUAUGAGGAAUGGCACGUUGUCAGCAUAGCGAGCCAUUUUUCUCAUGUAAUACCUAAGGUGGGUCUUUGGGCAUCCCGUUCCGUCAUACUUUCUUGUGAACUCAGGCUCCUAGAAAUUCUCAGGAAAGCUCGUCUUGGUGUAUGGAGAUAACCUAUCAGCUCCUUUCAAUUCAUAACCUUGCAAGACACAUAGUCGCUCUUCCAUCUUUGCCAAACGUUUUUCACUCUCGUCACUUAGGCGAGGUGUUGGGUUUUCCUUCGGAGGAGGAUUCAAAUUGACGAUGAUUGGCGUGGCAGAAGGAGCUUCUCCAACAAUUUCUUUCCCGGGGAGAUCAGCAACGUGCGUGCCUCCCGUCGACGGGGAAGCAUGUUCUGAUAACGCAGGAGUGGAUGUUCCAGUGACAGCUACGGCGGGGAGCUCCUUAAGCUUCUGACUUAUUUCAAGCAUCAUUGCGGUGAGUUGGGCUAGCUGGUCCUCCAUCUUGGCCAUGCGCACAUUGGUGUCAUCAUUCUCCAUUCUAACUUUUGCGCGCGUGUGAAUUGGGGAUCUCCGCUUGGCCAUGUCGACGAUCAGUAGAAGACAAUCGAUCAGUUAGUACCUGACGAAAGUAGAUAAGCAUAUAUAAGUACAAGUAAUAAUUAGGCGGUCGGUCCACGACAAAGAUCUAAUCGCCCCAAUUUGCUCGUUUCAUUGAAAGCCCGGUUGCUACAUAAUACAAGAAAAAACACAAAAGAAAACCCUUAAACAACAAAGCUAUUUCAAAGACGAAAAGACAUUCUCUUAACUCUAAAUUUUCAAUAUCGAGACUCGAGACGAACUCCAUAAUAUUCCAACGUAUGCGAAUAUGGUCCCGCUACAUAUUACGCUCGACUCAAUCUAACUAAUGAGGAUGGCUUCCGCUUGUGGCAGCUCCACUAACUCGGGUUAACUUCGAAGCACGCUCCUCGGCUUCCUUGAGCUCCCUCUUGAGGCGCUUGAUCUCGGCUCGGUGGGUGAUCUUCAAUGGCACUUCAGGAAUCUUCGGGCGAAGGCUCUCUGGAAUCUUGUGUCUAAGGAUGUAUUCUUUCGAGGCAUAGUAAGUCUUCUCUUGCCCCUCCAACUCUUCUUCGGGCCAAAUUAGCUUCCGGGGGUGGCACAUAUCCCACAUCGAUUUGACCAACGCAACGGAGUCCUCGUGAUCUUGGCAUCCGUCAGGGAAGUCUAUCCUGAGCGGGUUAUCCUGGAUCGCCGGCGGAAGCUGUUGAACCUCUUGAAACUGACGGGUGACUCGAGUCGGGUAAUAUUCGGUGACUCUAGUGAUUCCCAAUAAAGGAAUAGGUCCAGUAAGUCCACACACGAACCGCGCUUUUUGAACUCAGAGCCAUUUGGCAUGCCAUUGGAAAUCCUCAGGUCCGGGGUUGGUCAUGAAAGCUAACCACUCAGAAUAAUGAUAAUCAGGGGCAAACAUUUUCCUAUCUCUAAACUUUAGGAUAGGGUGGUUAGAGUCAGAAAUGUCACUCACGGUCAUCAAGUUACCAAACCCUUUAAUGUGAGAAAAAAACCAAAUUUGCAAGAGUUCAGGGGGAGCAUAGAAAGCUUUGUUUUUGUUUUCUUUAAAACGAGUAAGGGAGAGAAAGGUUUCAGUUAUGACGGCAUUAACAAAACCCUUUCCCAUACAUACCUCACGAACUACCCAUGCCACGGAAGGGUUAAUAGCAUUCCUACAAUGUGGGAAUAAUACAAACCCGAAGAAAGCUAAGAGGAAAAUCCUAUUCUUUUGAAAAGAUUUGGCAUUUUGAAAAAGCUCAUUUAAGAAUGAAAACGGGCAAGUCUUGCGGUUGGCUUUUAAAACUUUCCUCACGUCCUAUUCUUUAAUUUUAAGAAAAUCAGAUAAGGUCGAUGCAUGCUCGGUCCCUACAGGUGGGCUAACUAACUCCGACACCAAGGGUUUUCCAAUGGCAACGCCGUAUUCUUCCAAGGUUGGAGUGAGUUCGUGAUCACCGAGUAUGAACGUGCAAGUUGCGGGGCACCAAAAAUGCGCUAAUGCUUGCACAACACCAGAAUGAGUUUCUAUCCCCAAUAGGGGAAGUAAACGUCCAACAUACGAUCGCACCCAAUCAUGGCCUGUUGGAUCUAAUCUAUCCCACCACGCACGAAGCUCGACUUUCGGGACGGAGAUGAUGCGAAGGUCGGGUACCCCCAUCGUAUGAUCAACCUAAUUUGUCAUGGACCGGCCAAAAUGAAAACAAAUAAGUAAAUUGCGAUGAAAAGAAUUCAAGAAAAACUUACCCUACUCAUUGAGCAGCGAUGUAAAGGUCAUAGACAUGCGCAUGGACAGUGGUUCAAUUUCUACUCUAGAUGGCUCCAAAUGAAGCCAUGGGAUCACAGGACUGAACCAACAAGCUCGUGGCUAGGUCGUGUUACCCAUGACUCUGGCUUCGUCAAAGGACCGACUCGUGUCGCAUGCUCGCAGACCAGGGUGAGGACCUUUGACAUCAAGAAAGAAAUUUUGGGGUUGAGAUGGGCGACUCGUACUACAUGCUUGUAGUCGGAGUGGUAUCCACCUCAACACCAUCCUAAGUGAUCCUAUGCGGCCCAGGUCCGGCGGCAAGUUGUGUGUGCUAAAGUAUAGUGCAAUGCAGGAGAUACAGGCAUGACAAUUUAUAAGCAAUCAACACUUCAUACAUGGACAAUAAACCAUACAUUCCUUCACCUCCCUACAAAACAAAGGUGAGCAAACACUUCCCCUUAUACCUCCCAUUCUACAAAAACAUUUAACACAUUUAAUGUUAGGGACUAACCUCCUCGCUGCCAAACAAAAAUAUUUUUUGAACAAGAUUAAUUUUGGCCUAAGUCCUCUAAGGUUCAAAACCAAGUCCCCAGUGGAGUCGCCAAGCUGUCGCGACCUACCCUCGGGGGCAGGGAAUAGGUUUAGGGGUAUUGCCUAAAGGACGGGGCUAAGGCCCAUUAUCAGGUGCGGGCUCUCCCAAGCCCAUACCCCUCGUGACAUUGGGAUAUUCUUUAGGAUUUUUGCACAAAAGGAGUCGCCACUAGCCUAUUGGGGUCGGCUAGAAACCAAGUGAGGUAUGGGAGUAUACCUCACUUCCUACGCAACCAGAGAAUCUAGGUUCGGGGACUUGAUUACACUAAUUAACCAAUUAGUGCCAUUUCGGUACCUAAUCUUGUUCAUUUUAACAAAAUGAUUUUUGACAAGCAGUUUGGAUUAAUUUUAUACUUAUCCACUAACAUACGAGGUGAUCAUGCGGGUGCCCAAUCAUUAAAGUAAUAAUCAUAACUAUCAAGAUCCUAAUUGCCAUAAAAUUAAACACAUUCAAUCAAACAUAAUUAGAUAUGCAAAUAAAACAUGCAACGUAAUCAAAAUACGAGCACAUAAAGGUCUAAUUACGCUAAAAAUGCAAAGCAUAGCAACUUCUAACCGAACCCCGUUAUUUUUGGAUUUUCGAAUUUUUUUUAAAUUUUUUUUAAAUUUUUUUUUAAAUUUUUUUUAAUUAAUUAAUUUUUUUUAAUUUUUAAUUAAUUAAUUUUUAAAAAAAUCGAAUUUUUAAUGUUUUCUGAGUUUUUUUUGAAAUUCUUUUUUGAAUUUUUGAAUUUUUAUCAUUUUUUUUAAUUUUUGAUUUUUAUAAUUAAUUUUAUGAAUUUUUUAAUAUUUAAUAUAUAUUUAAUAUUUAAUAUUAUUAUACUUCAAUAAAAUGGGUUCGGACCGGGUAAACCCAAUCCGGCCCGCGGACCCAACCCAAACCCGGAUCCAAUACUUUUGGAUUUUUUUUUUAUUUAAAAAAAAAGAUCAUUUCAGUAGUCUUUCCUCACCGCACACUCCCCUUCUGCGAUUCCUCCUUCCCAAGACCAACUUUUCCUUUCUCUUUUUUUUUUUUUAAUAUUUUGUUUUACUUUUUCAUUUUUUUUAUACUUUUCUUUUUCUCUUUCUUUUAUUCUUUUUUUUUUUUGGGUCUUCUUCUCCUUCGUGCUCGCCCUUGCAUGCCUUCAACCCUCCCGAAAGGGGCCUUCUCCUUCCUCACGACAUUCCUCACCAAAAUUCGUUUCUUUACCAAGACUAAUUUGAACAACAACAAUAACCAAAGCACUUAGCAUCCUUUCUAACACCAAACCACCCCGACGCAAAUCAACGCCGGCCAUCUAACUCCGAGGGCUGCUACACCAUUUUCGGAUGCAAACGCCCACAGCUCAAGCACACAUGAUUAUUUUAUGAAAAUCGCAUGGAAUCAUGAUGAAAACAUGAGAGACAGACAGGAUCCAACAUAUAUACGAACAAGCGCAAAUUAAACCAAGUUUGAACGCGGGUUUUUUCUCGGUUCUCUUUGAGACAUUUUGUCAAACACUGGGUGUACAAUAGCUAAAAGAGGGCAUACGGCUCACUUGAGGCUCGAAUCCAAGUAAAGAUCAACACAAUAUGCACUAGGACAUCUAUGAGCUUUCAUGGAGGACCGGUGAAGCCGAAGCUCGCGAGAACAGGUCGGCCGUGAGCUCCGGCCCGAGACUUCGAAGUGAAGUGAGAAGCCUACCUGGUUCGGAUGGCGAGUUACGAGCGUACUCCAGGCGACGGCGACACGCUCUCUCCCCAAUUGUCUCUCUCCCCAGGGUUUUCCUCCUGCUUUUUCGUCCCUUCUCUCCGCUCGAUUAGCGUCGGGAGCUGCGGCGACGGGUACGAUGAGUCGACACUCGGAGGGCAGCGGCGGUGUCGCAGCUUCGGGCUGCAGGCGUCGCAGGGGGUAGCGGUGGCACAGCGAGGGCUGCCACCACGACUCCUCCUCCCCUGUGUUUCUUUCUCUCAUUUUCUUUUUUCUCUCUGUUUUUUUUGUGCUCAGUCCCUCCCUGUUUUUCCCCCUUAUGUCUGUUUUCUUCUCUUCUUUUUCUGGUGCAGAUCUCCCCUUGCUUCUCUUCACGUGCGCGCGAAUCAGCUCCGCGUGCGUCCGAAUCGGCUCCCCCCAACCCGUUGACCUGCCAGCGAGAUGAUGAUGUCUCCUCUACCUUCCCUGCCCCUGCUUUCGGCUUCGCCAUUUACCUAAGCGAACAGUUGCUUUCUGCUUCGCUGGUUCCUUGUGCAGAAAAACGGCUGAGGGAGAAGACAACGGGGUGGGCCGGGCCAGAGGGAAGAAGAGGGCUGGGCCGUGCAAGGGGAAAAGAAAAAAAAAGAAAAAAGAAAAAGGAAAGGGGAGGGUUUGAGCCGAAGCCCACGCAGGGAGAAAAUAAAAGGAAAAAGGGGCCGGGUCGGGCCAAGGCCGGAUCCGGCCUGACCUGGACCUCACAACUCUUUUUUUUUGUUUUCUUUUUUUUUUUAAGGAAAUUAAUAGCUAAAAUUUUUUGAUUUUGAUUUUGAUUCUGAUUGAUUUUUUUUUAAUACUAUUUGAAAGAUAAAAAACUAGGUGUCAACACAUGUUCGCUAUCUUUUUCCUUCACCCCUCGUCUUCACAACCCUAAAAUCACUUGGGACGCAGAAACAGUGGAAAACCACCGUCGCCACCGGUGAUGUCGAGCUUCAAUGCCUCACCGCUAGUCUCCUUCACUCCCUCGCUGUCACUGUUGAAGCUCCUAAUCAUCGAGAACCUCCACCAGCUCGGCGAUUAUCCUCACUGCUCGCCCCAAGCCCUGUCGAGGCGCUGUGGCCCCUCGAUGAUGCUCCACUUCAGGAGCUCGCCCGUCCUCGUCGUAUCAUCCGCUGAUUGUGCACUUGACAUCAUGAAGACCCACGACCUUAUAUUUCUCCGACCGACCCAGGUAUAGACUAAGCCUGUCAACCCAUGUUCAUGCAUCCUAAUUCUCUGUUGGAGUUAUAUUUUCUAGCAUUUAUGAUUGGAGAGGGUCCCGGUGGACUAGGACAUUAACCAUGCGUCAACUCGUGCUAUUUUCAAACGUUGUAUAUUUUAUUUAACAAGACGAAAGCUUCAUAUGUACUAAAUAUGUGCCAAUUCAUGUCAUUUCUUCGACUCAAGUCAACCCUAUUCAAGAGGCUUCUGCACCAUCGCAAGGACAUGUCAUUGGCGCCAUAUUAUCGAGGUAUAGUUCAUACUCCCUAUCAAUUAUGUAGAGACAGUGUCCCUAUGACUUUAAUUUUAGUUUGGCCCUAUAAAUAGUUACUCAUGAAUAGUAACUGUGAAAAAAAGUUGACUAUUUUAAAGGUAAAAAAACCAGUAAAAUUUUAUCAACGUGUGUGAUGAAAAUUUUCUUUUUUAUUCUUCUGAAAGCCAGAGGAUCGUCCAUACAUAGAAAAGAAUAGGUUCAGUUCACACAAACUGUCCACCCUGAAGAAGACUGUUGACACCUAAUUUAGAUUCAAUUUUUAGAAAAUAAAAGAUUAGAGGGAAAUUUUGAAAAGAAAUUUUGAAUUCAAAAUAAUUCAACAGUCGGAUUUUGGAGCCAUUUCUUUGUUGGAGAAGUUGAGCGAAAAUCUCCACCGGCGAGAGGUUGAGCAAAAAUCUCCACCGGCGAAACAAACUCGAAUUUUCGCUUUAUAAAUAGAGGGGUUCUUCUUCACCUUUCGGAGGAGCGGGGGCUACUUUUCGUCAAAAAUUGAAAAGUGAAAAGAGAGAAAAACUGAAGAGAAAGAGAGAAAAGCUUCCGGUUGUUUUUUUUUUGCUGAAAAGAAGAAGUGUGCAGAGAGAGACAGAGGGAGGAAACAUGAAAGUGACGUGAGGGAGAGGUGAGAGAGAGAGUCAGGUGAGAGAAAAAGUAAAAAAAGGAAGAAGAGAAAGCAAAAGAUGGACCACUGUUCAUCUUCCUCGGUGUGAGCUUCCAUUCGGUGUCCCUGCUGUCCAUUUCCUCCGCGUUGCCGAGACUGCAGCUGUCGCUCCCGAGCCCUCACAUUGUCACCGGACCGACAGCUCCUUCUUGCCGAUCACCGUCCAUGAAGCUCGCGAAGCUGAUGUCCUUCACCGCCGUCUACUGAAGCUGCAUCCCUGCUGCCCGCGGCCGCCACACACUGAAGCUACGUCCCUAGUGCCCAACGCCAUCGUCGCUGCUUGAAACCUCGCUCCCGACACCUGCUACAACGACGCCGCUGCAGCAACUGUUCAGUCUCCUCCCGUGACGCCAGCCUGCAGCGCCCAGACCUCCCGCGCUGCUCUGCCCCGACGCCGCGUCACCUUUGCUCGACCCGGUGCCCGACGAUUCCCCCUUGCCGUCGCUGAGCACCACCAGAACCGGCGCCGGCCAUCGCGACCUGCUGCUGCCCAGUGCGACGCCGGAGCUCCGAAGCCCGCCGCUCCUGCUCCGAGUUCCACUGCUGACCCGCGACGUCGGAACCGAGCUGCCACACACCCGUGAGACGCCACCUCUGCCGGACCAUCACCGUACCUCCGGGAGCUCUCCACUGGUGCUCUGCCUCAACCCGAAUCAGUCCCAGUAGCCCGACGUCCCUGCACCCGACGCUGCUGCUCCUCUGCUUGCUGCUGCACGCCCGAACAGAGUCAUCUGCCGCCUCCUCUGUUUUGCUGCAGGUCUGGUUACUGCCGAACCUCGCCGGAGCUCCAACGGACAGCCCUUGUUCCAAACGGCAACCCAUCACCGAACCACCAGCUGCUCCUCGCCAUUCCUCAGGCCAACCGUGAGUUGGACUAGGUGAUUUUCUAGAUAUUUGAUUUCAUUUUUUUUAUAUAUAUAUUCUAACUUGAUUUGUUUUGAUUUAUUUUUAUCGUUAGGAAAUUUGUCAUAUUAAGUUAUGAUAAUAAAAAAUAUUGACCCGCGAGACGUCGGGUUAGAUUUUUGAUUAUUUCGACUUUUUAUGGCAAAAUUCAUGAAUUACUUUGCACCAUUAAUUCAUAUUAAAAUGCCAUUGAUUUAUAUGGAUGGAUUUUUAUUUUGGCAUGUUAUUAUUAUUUGCUCAUCACAUAUCAUGCAUCAUAUUAUGUACUUAGGUCCAUGCACAUUUCAUAUUAAAGCAACAUACUUAGAUAUUUUUAGAUUAAGUCAAUUUUCAUUUAAUAGAACAAAAAGAUGAACAAAAAAAUGUUAUGCAUGCCAUAUGAGUUAUAGUUUUUUUUUUAAUAAAAAGAAAAUGCUAAAAGAUGAUCAUUGCACCAUUAAGUUGUUUUCUUUUUAAUAAAAAAACAUUAUGUCAUUAAAAAAAAUAAAAAAUAAAAGAUCAUUUCCUUGGUUAGUUAAUAGGUUAAUUCAUAAUUAAUCUCAUAUCAUCAUUAUUUAGCAUAGGUUGCAUAUAUGCAUUAAAAAUGAAUCAUCAUUAAAAUAAAAUAAAAAAAAGAGCAUGCAUGUAGAAAUACCAUGUCAUUUAUCCCAUAUCAUGUAGCACAUGCAUAUUUAGGAUUAUAAAAAUUAGAUUGCAUACAUAUAGUGAUAAGUUUCAGUCAUACCUUAUGAAUUGCAUCUCGCAUGUCAUUAAAAUAAAUUCAUGCAUAUUAAGUUUAAAUUAAGAUUGCAUAUAAUUAACAUUUAAAAAAGAAAAAGAAAAAUUAGGUGUCAUGUCAUUUAGAAAAUUAUGUUUAGGGCAUGCAUUUUUAUUAGCAUUUUUUUUAUUGAAUGUUAUUUUAGUGAUUGUGCACUCGCAUGACCACCAUUUGCAUGUUAGUAGCUUAAGUUAAAAUUAAUCAACAUUGCCUGCAAAAUAUUUUUGAAAUUAAAAUAAAAGGUACCGAAAGGGCGUUAGACUAAUCUAGCGUAAUCAUGUCCCCGGACUUAUUGAAUCUCUGGUUCGCAAUAGUAAAGUAUUCUCCCCUACUUUACUUGGGUUUCUAACCAGCCCUAAUUGGUUAGUGGCGGCUCCAAAUAGAAUUGCAUGUUUAAAUAGAUUAAUUUCUAUCAAGUCGCGAUUGGUAGGACUUGGGAGGGUCCGCGCCAAGUCUUCCGACUUAGUAAUCCAUUAACCUAAACUUUAGGAUUGCCCCUGAAAAUUUAGGUCGCGACAAAGACCCCACGUGACAAGAGGACUGCAAAAUGCAGAUGUCGUGUCUAUUCCGGCGGCCGAUGGGGCGGCUGGACCUUACAAACUCUGUCAUCGAUUUCACAUUGAUUUGACGGAGAUAUGAAACGAAUCUGGUCGAUCCGAUUGUGACAAAAGAAAUUAAUCAUCAAAAAAUCUCCCAAGUAAUUGAUUGGCAAUGAGCCACCCACGUUACCAUGUCCAUCAUCAAACAUCGUUUGCUUUGAAAGGCUUAGUGGUCCCAAACUUUAUCUUAUGUACAAGUGGUAAAAUUCAAAAUGAUUUAAUCCCUAUCUUAAAAUUAAAAGUCGAAUUAGAAGGGUCAAUUCUCAAUUCGUGGAAUAGCAAUUGGCCCAUUCGGUUUUAAAAUCGGACCAACCAGUCCCAUCUAGUCAAGAACCAAUGGUGAUAUCUUCUUCUUUUUUCCCAUAUUCCCCUCGAGUGUAGUUGCAUAGUCUAAACUCUUACUCUUUGGUAUUUUGGAUAUUUAAUCAAUAAAAAUCUUGAUAGAAAGACAUUAAAGAUGUGAUAAAGUAUAAUCAAGUAUCAUUAACUUGUUAAUAAAAAAAUAUGGAGCCAGUCUAGGUAGUUCGGAUGAUUUGGUUUACACCUAGAACAAGAGACCGGACCAACAGUCACCGGUUCCAAGUUUUAGGAAUGGGGAGCUGUCCAGAGCCGGUUUAGAACCGGUCGAUUUGCUCUAAUUCGGUUCAGUUUCAGUACUCACCCUUAGCCGCACAUACAUGUUUGAUUCGGAGCAACUCAGUUCCCGUGUCCAAAUUGUUGAGGCCAAUGUAUGGUGCAAGCGAAGAAGUUGGACUGGUAUUCCAUUUUACCGCACAUCCCAUUUCGAUACUAAUGCAUUCUUGAAUGGCAUCUCGUGACUUUCGUUGUGGAUGGAUAGCGUGUAAAGGUUCCUCAACGCCUGCUCCUACUCACUAUAAAAAGAACCAGACGCAGGAGGAAGCAAGUUGUAUCUGGGGUUCUGAUAGAAGAAAAUGAUGUCAAGUGCACUUCUCAGGCAAUAUCUUUAUCCCCUUUUAAUACCAUUUACCUUCUGCAUCUUGCUCCUCUUCAAAUGGUUGCUUUCACCUUCCACCACCCAAAAACACCACCACCCACCACCUUCGCCACCAAGGCUUCCCAUCCUCGGAAACCUCCACCAGAUCGGCUCGCGCCCUCACUCCUCACUUGCAAACUUGUCUCGUAAACAUGGCCCUCUCAUGCUCCUCCGACUCGGCCGUGUGCCGGUGCUUGUGGUCUCGUCAGCGGAUGCCGCCCGCGAGAUCAUGAAGACCCACGACCUCAUCUUUGCCAACCGGCCAAAGUCGAAGAUCUUCGAAAAGCUUGUGUACGACUACAAGGACGUGUCGAUGGCGCCAUACGGCGAGUACUGGAGGCAGAUGAAGAGCGUCUUCGUAUUGCAACUCCUGAGCAACAAGAGGGUCCAGUCGUUUCGCCCGGUCCGGGAGGAAGAGGUGGCCAACCUGAUCACCGACAUCGAGGGCUUGCUUUCUUCCGCAUCGCCGACAACUGUGAAUUUGGGCGAGAGGUUCGCAGCGCUAACCAACGACGUGGUGUGCAGGGUGGCUUUGGGGAGGAAGUAUGGUGGGAAGAGGUUCAAGGCGAUACUCAUGGAAUUUGUGGAGUUGUUGGGAGCUCUCAGCUUCGGGGAUUAUAUUCCUUGGCUUGCAUGGGUGGAUCGAGUGAGCGGUUUGGAUGAGCGGCUGGACAAGGUGGCUAAAGAGCUUGAUGGUUUCUUGGAUGAAGUUGUGGAAGAGCAUGUUGAGAAGAGGAUGAACUGCGAGGGCGGCGUCGACGUACAAGAAGGCAAAGAAGAUUUUGUGGAUAUCUUGCUUUCUAUCCAGAAGGAUAGCUCCGUCGGUUUUUCCAUUGAUAAAAUUACCAUCAAAGCUCUCAUCUUGGUACGCAAGUUCUUGUACGGCCCUUUUUGUUUAUUUGGCUAAUCAUUAUUCCUAGAAUCAUUCUACGGUGCGCGGAGCUAUAUGAACCAUCGAUAUGUGGCCACGAUCUCUUCUAAUGUUUCAGAUCACUCUGUCCAUUAUAGACUUUUGUCUCGGCAUGUUUUUCAAUUUGUUAGUUUAGCACACAUCUCUUGCAAAAAGAUGAUGCUUAAUUCCCUUAAAAACUCCAAACUUUUAAGUCCAAUUCUGAUUUUAUCCAUAACAUUUUUCUUAAUAAAAAUUAAUAUUUUUCUUUCUAGUUUUAAAUCUGCUCUUGCAUCCAAAAAUAGCCACCAAGUUCUUCCAAAUUAUCAAUAUCAGGAGGCUACUGUUAUUCCAUGCAAAAGUGAGGGUGUUGUGGGAGUGAAUUUGGGAGUAUAGUGAAAAUCUAUAAAAAAUUUUUUAACUAAAAUAAGUUUGCGCAGAAUUGAGAUUUGACCUAAAAUUUAGAUUUUUUUGGGGGGAGUUAAGCCCAAACGGACGGUGUAAUACCUUUUUCGGUUGUGAGCAUGCAAUGUGAGUCGAUGUCAUUUUAGCAAUUUGAACUCAAGUUUUUGGCCAAAGUUGCACUUUAAUUAGCCUAUGAAAUAACUUGAAAUCACUCUAGAUUACUACGUGAUGGUACUGAUCAUGUAGAUAGAGAGAUUAAAAUGAACAGAGUAUUGUAUAGUCUAGAUCCUAGCACUCUCCUUCUCUGAUUGAGCUUUCUCUUUUUGGUCAAGAAGCACUAUUUUGGGCACUUUGGAUUGAUGGGUCAAUUGUAAUUUCAUCUUAAUGUUAGUCCCCCAAUGUUGGCAACAAGGUUAAUCAUCAGGCAAGAAUACUUUCGAGCAGGCGUACGAUAGUCAUGCCGACUACAUUGUUAUAAUUGCAGGAUGCAUUUGCAGCGGGAACAGACACUACAUACACUGCCCUAGAGUGGGCAAUGACCGAGCUUCUGAGACAUCCAAAUGCAAUGCGACAAGCACAAGCCGAGGUCAGAAGGAUUGCCGGUCACAAGUCGAGCAUAACCGAGGAAGACCUGGACCAAAUGUGCUACUUGAAGGCCGUGAUCAAGGAAACCCUCCGAUCUCAUCCUCCGAUCCCAUUACUAAUCCCCCGAGAGUCAACCCAAGACACCAAAGUGAUGGGCUAUGACGUCGUGGCAAGGACUCGAGUGAUUGUCAAUGCUUGGGCCAUCGGGAGAGACCCUUCGCUGUGGGACUCGCCAGACGAGUUCCGUCCGGAGAGGUUCUUGAACUCAUCCAUCAAUUUCAAGGGACAUGACUUUGAGCUCAUUCCAUUCGGAGCAGGGCGGAGAGGCUGUCCGGGAAUCGCAUUCUCCAUUGCUGUGGAUGAGCUUGUUUUGGCCAAUCUCUUGCACAAGUUCGAUUGGAGAUUGCCUGAUGGCGUGGGGCAGCUGGACAUGACCGAGUCCACUGGUCUAACCAUUCACAAGAAGUUCCCUCUAAUUGCUUCUGCUGCUAUAGCCACUCCAUAAUGCUACAAAGAUUUUUACUUAUUUUUACAUCUAAUUCAGGCAAUGUUGUCCGACAGAUGUGGCGGAUGAAGUUCCUUCUUCCCAUUUUCCAAAUAUUUCUGGCAAUGCAAAGUUCUUUUGCAGUCUGAUAGUCGGGAUACACUCUUUUCAUAAAGAUAGGUUCAGUGAAGUAUCAAUUAGGCGUAUAUGCGCAUGAGGAAAACAGUUAUUGUGAGAAGAAGACGAUCCAAAAUAGGGAUGUAUUCACAGAUAUAAGCGAUGACAUCUUGAACUGAUGUACGAGCUUCGGUACUGAGGAAGGUGAAGGCUCUUUGCGAACACGAAAUGGGACCGGCCAACACGUCUGAGCAAAGGCACCAAAUUUUAUGUUAGCCCCGGAGAUUCAUCUGAGAGUCGAUUCGGUCAAUCCAAAUCUUGGAUGGAUUUUGAUUUACAAAAUUUCAAAAUUGCUCUGUUUUCUUAAUGACUGAAUAGUUAGAAUAAUCAAGGAAGAUUAGUGCAUAAUGAUCUUUAAUAAUGGAUGGUACUCAAGAUGGAUGGCUUGCAGCCUAAUUUCUUAGAAUCAUUAGUCGACAAGAAGGCGCGGAGUUGAUUACCAAAAAAAAAAAAAAAAGAAGGCGCGGACUCUUAAUUUUUAAUCUAUGGCUGAUUGAAACUUAAUUCAACCUAAUCAAUUGAUCUUAAAUAGUUUAAUUUGUUGACAAACUCUCCACAAAGGAUUCCCAAAACACUGAACAAAAAGAAAAAUAUACCCAUCAGUCAUCUCUUUCAUUUCCCCAAUCACUCAAAACACUUAAAAAGACCUAAGCACUUAAUUAUUAUUUCGCAGAUAUCUAUCAAAAAGCGACAAGCUUAAAGCAUGAUGAUCACGUGAUCAGCCCAUCCCUAGAUGAUAUGGCGCGGCUCCAAUGAUUAGUCGGAAGAGCACUGAUUUUGCGUCGCUAUUGCCAUCGCUAAUCCUAGCAGCAUUCUUUUGUUACCUUGCACAGGAUGAUAUCCCAAGAUGGCUUUCAGGACAUAAGAAAAUUCUACCACGAUGCACUACGUUGCAUGUGAAUGGCUUUUGUUGGAGAAAACUUCUUUAUUUGUUUUGAAGUUGACAAAACGUUUCCAUUAGUCUAGUCUAAAGACUUGCAGACUCUUUCGACAAAGUUUAAACACCGCCAGACCGCCAGACUCAAGAUUUAAAGUCUGCCCUCAUUGACAGAUUCUAGACCAACGAAGAAGACUUAUCAAGAAUCGAGUAUUUCUUUAAGAAUUUGAUUCGAGCGGUUGAAGAAGAUCUCAUAGCUGGAUAUAGCAUCUCGGAAUAUAUUAUUCGUCUUGAAAUUAAUUCGGGUAAUUUGGAUCUGUUGAAUGACGAAGCAUACUUUGAAGGUUCUACUUAUGGAAACCUAGAUCUUGAUUGUAUGGGCGAACAUGAUUGGUGGGCUAUUGUCAUAUUCUUUAAAUAACUCGAGAUCUCCUUAAUUGAUUCUGUCCAACAGCUAGAUUGGAAGAACUCCUUUGGAAAGUGUCAACGGUUAUGAAGGCAUGGAGGAGUAUAUAAGGAAGAUGCUCUGGUUAUUUGAAGGAGUGCGCAAUAGAUAAAUUCCAAAGUCCGAAAGCCCUUAUUCUCUGCCAAUUCAAUUGUUGAGCGUAUACUUGUACUCAAAAGAGAGUUUAUACAUUUGUGAGACCUUGAGAAGGUGUAGCAGAGUCUCUACACUGUGGAAUCAAGGACGUGAUACUGUAACGACUCUUUUGAUUCAUAGUGAAAUCCAACCGGUGGGCUGUUAGUACGGGAGAGUGGACGUAGGCUUGGAUUAAGCCGAACCACUAUAAAUUUUGUGUUCUUAUUCUCUUCUAUAAACUCAUUUACUUUGCUCGUAACUUUAUUUAAUUGUUAGAAUCUCAUUUCCAUUUUUAAAGUCUACUGUUAAAUAGACGUUUUACAUCAUUCUCUAAAAAAAUUUAUUUUCGCACCUAUUCACCCCCUCUAGGUGCUCGUACUAGCAUUUACAGCUUUGUCCAUGAUAAAUGCAUCAUAUAAUCACCAGAGAAGGACAUUUUUUUAUAAGACUGACAUUGACUAAAAUUAAAACCAAAUGACCAGCAAAUUAGAUAGAUAAUUUCAGUGACUUCCGUAUAUUAAACUGUGUGGGAAUCAAUUAAGAAGUAGAGAAUAGCAAUAUCACGAUCUGUUUCUCCCAACAUGCUUGGUCCUAGCAGUUUUGCUGAUUGUUUUGGGAAAGAGCAAGUCUAGGAAAAGAAAGAGCAACCUCCGACCGAACCCUCCCAAGUCGCCAAUCAUUGGCAAUCUCCACCAGCUUGGCAAAUCACCGCACAUAUCUCUCCGUCACCUCACGAGGAAGUACUGGCUGAUCAUGUCCUUGCAGCUUGGCAAAGUCCGAACCAUAGUUGUAUCCUCGACCGCGAUGGCCAAGAACUCCGCCAAGCACUUGUUUUAUUAUUACUCCCACACGGCUCCUUUGUUUUCACUUAAUCAAGUCGUAUAUGCCGAUUGUCAUUGUGACAUGCGACAUAUGUCAACCAAAGACUUCCUUCAAAUAACCCAACGCUAGCAUUGAUUAACAAUCGGUUGUUUGGUAUCGAUUUUAAGACAGAUUUCGCAUCUCAAAUUCCUUCUACCCGUUUUUCCUAGUUUCUGACAUUGCAAUGUUUCUAACAUAGGUUCUAUGUAGGCAUUAUGUGGUCCAACGUCCGCGAUACAAUUUCUUUGUAUAUGUAGGUCCCAAAAAAAAAAAAAAAACAGUCAGGGUCAACAUUGAGAGUCAGAGAUGCUGCAAAACUUAGCACAUGGGCACAUGCGAACAACGUUAAUAGCAUGACAGAGAACCCUUGAUAGAGAUAGAGGCGCCACAGAAUUAUAGUGAGAAGAAGACAGAUGAAAAUCCUGGAUGUGUUCAAUGUUGGAGAAAUCCUCUUGAAGUGUUUUGAAGUUGACAAAAUGUUUCCAUCAGUCUAGUCUGAAGGCUUGCAGACUCUGCUAUUUAAAGUCUGAAGACCUCCGGAUAGCUAGACUCAAGACUUAAAGUCUAUCCUCAUUGACAGUUUCUCAUCCGUUGAAGAAAGGCUAUCCAGAACUGGUUGUUUCAUUAAGGAUGUAGCCUUAUCGACUGGAGAAGAUCUCUUGGCUGGAUAUGACAUAACUGAAUCCUUUAUUUGAUCAUAAUUGAUAUGAAGAUUAAGGAUCCGAUGAUUGGCAAGGUAUACUUGGAAGGUUCUACUUAUGAAAACCGAGAUCCUGAUUGUAUGGGCGAACAUGAUUGAUGGGCUAUCGACAUGUUCCUUUAAUAGCUCGAAUAAUCUUCCUAAUUGAUUCCGUCCAAUGGGUAGAUUGAAGGAAUUCCUUUGGUAAAUGCCAAUAGGUAUGAUGGCAUGAAGGAGUAUAUAAGGAAGACAUUCUAGUUGUUUGGAGGUGUGCAUGAUAGAAGAAUUCCAAAGUCUGAAGCUCAUUGGUCUUAGACAAUUCAUUUGUUGAGCAAAAUUGUGUAAACAAAAGAGAGUCUAUAUUCAUGAGAAACCUUGAAGAAGUGUGGUAGAUCAUCUACACUGUUGAAUCAAGAAAAAGCUGUGCUGUAACUUCUUUUUUGUUCAUAGUGAAAUUCAGCCGGUGGGCUGUCAGUGCGGAAGAGUGGACGUAGGCUUGAAAUAAGCCGAACCACUAUAAAUCUCGUGUUCAAUUUUCUCUUCCUUAAUCUUUACAUUACUUUGAUCGUAUUUUCCUUUCUAUCGUUUGCCUAGAAUCGCUUCUGUAUCUCGAAAAUUUGUUUGUGCACCUAUUCACCCCUCUCUAGGUGCUUAUACUAGCUAUCUCAAUUGGUAUCAGAGCCCGUGUACUCACUUUGUUUGAAGUGUUUUACUUCAGAGUUAAAGAUCCAUGGCUAGUAUGUUGGCUCCAAGGCUGGUAGAAGGGCAAAGCAAUACCAGACCACCUUACUUUGAUGGAAAGGAUUACAACAUAUGGAAAAACAAGAUGAAAGCGUUCCUAAGAUCAAAGGAUCCUCUGGAAUGGGACGUUGUAGAAAAAGGAAUCAUUCCUAAAGCUGCAUCUGUCUCUGAAAGAGGAAAAGAUGUUGUUGAGUCUAGCGAAAUGACUCAAGAAGAGAUAAUCAAGAGACAAGCUCUUGAUGCAAAAGCAAUUUAUUUUCUUUAUUGUGCUUUAUCCCCUAUUGAAUAUAACAGAAUAUCUUCUUGUGUUACAGCUAAAGAAGUCUGGGAUAGAUUACAUAUUACCUAUGAAGGAACCGAUCGAGUGAAAGAGACCAGAAUCAACAUUCUCCUCGGUUAAUAUGAAGCCUUCAAAAUGAAACCAGGAGAAUCUACAACUAAUAUGUUUAGUCGUUUUACAGAAAUCGUGAAUGGUCUUGAAAAUCAAGGUCAACCAAUUUCUGAUCCCAUGAAAGUAAACAAGCUACUGCGUGGACUCUCCAAGGAUUGGAAUCAUAUAAAGACCUCAAUCAGAGAGACCUAAAGAAUUAUGCCACUAUCUGGUAAUGAGUUGGUUGGGACUCUUCAGUCUUAUGAAGUGGAACGAAUCAAUGAAGACGAAGACUCUAAAGGUAAGAAAUCCAUUGCAUUAAAAUCUAAUGAUGAUUCUGAUGUUACAGAUUUUGAAGACGAUAUGGAUGAUGAGGAACUUGCUCUCAUGAUUAGAAGAUUCAGAAAGCUGAACAGAAAAGGAAGAAGAUUCAAUCCAAAGAAACAAAGUUUUCAAAAGCAACAGACAAAGUCUAUUGAGAAUGAUGAAUCAAACAAAGAUAUAGUCUGCUUUGAAUGUAAGAAAAAUGGACAUAUCAGACCCAAUUGUCCUCUUCUGAAGAAAAAGAAAGGAAAAACUGAAAAUUAUCGAAAAGCUCUUAAAGCUGAAACCUGGAGUGAUACAGAGUGUAAAGAAAGUGAUGAUGAUUAUGCCAAUAUAUGUCUGAUGGCACAAUCGGAUUCAGAUUCAAAUUUCGAGACAGAUUCAGAUUCAGAAAGCGAAUUUGAGGUAAGUAAUUCAAAAUCCCUAUUAAGGUUUCAAAGUACAUUGAUGAAUUGUGUUUCAGUCUUAAGACUUCUCUUAAAAGAAUUUCCGAACUCGAGAAAGAAAAUUCUGCUCUAAAACAACAGGAAAAUAUUUUGAAAGAAAAAGUGAAAAGUUUAGACAAGAAUGUUUCUUCUCUUAAAGAAAGUGAAGAUAAUCUUUUAAAAGAAAAUGGAUUCUUGAAAAGAGAUAUCUCAAAUAUUUCCAAAAGAUUUUCUAUAGGAUCUGAGAAACUGGAAAAAAUUCUCUCUGUUCAAAGACCUUAUUUUAAUAAAUCUGGUUUGGGAAUGACUGCUGAAACCAUUCUUUUAAUUGAUUUUCCUAAAGUAAAGGAAAGAAUUAAACAAAGACCCACAAGAGAUGCUUACAAAAAUCAUUUUAAAAGGAUCUUUGUAAAACCAGUAAGUCGCAAUGCUCUCAGAUGCUCAAAGUGCAAUGGUGUAGAUCAUUUUGAAAAAGAAUGUCCUAUGAUUUGGAAACCUGUUAAAAAGGUAUGGGGAAAAACCGCAUAUCAUACUAACACAAAUGGACCCAAGAAAAUAUGGGUACCAAAGAAGGUUUGAGUUUCUUUUUUAAAUGCAGGUCACUAUCAAGAAAAAGGUAAAAUGGUAUCUGGAUAGUGAAUGCUCAAGACACAUGACAGAAGACUCAAAUUACUUCAUAAAGCUUGUUCAAGUAAAUGGUGGAAAAGUCUCUUUUGGAGGAAACAGCAAAGGAAAAAUUGUGAGAUUUGGAACCGUAAAGAUUGGAAAUCUCACAAUCAGCAAUGUUUCCUUAGUGGAAGGGCUUAAUUACAAUUUGCUUAGUAUUAGUCAGCUAUGUGAUACUGGUUUCAAAAUCAACUUUCAAAAGGGAAUAUGUUUAGGAAUUAGUAAAGAUUCUACUCAGUCAUUCAUGGGUCGAAGACAUGGAAAUAUCUACCUCUUGGAUGUAAAACCAGAUGAAUCACAAUGUCUAAUCUCAAUCCAAGACGAAGCAAACUUAUGGCACAGAAAGCUUGGGCACGUCAAUAUGAAGCAAAUAGCCAAAAUCUUAGCAAAGAAGCUUGUUUGUGGUCUACCUAAGUUAUCAUACCAAAAGUCUGAUCUAUGUACACCAUGUAUAUUGGGAAAACAGGUAAGAAAUUCUUUUAAACCAAUAAAUCAAGUUUCCACUAACCAUGUACUGCAGCUUCUGCAUAUGGAUCUCUUUGGACCAACCAGAACACAAAGCAUUGUAGGUAAGAAAUACUACCUAGUAAUUGUGGAUGAUUACUCACGAUUUACUUGGGUAUAUUUCUUGACAAGUAAGUCUGAAACUUUCUCUUACUUUAAAAAAUUUGCUAAAAAGGUUCAAAAUGAAAAAGGUUAUGUUAUCUCGAGUAUAAGAACAGAUCAUGGAGUGAGUUUGAAAAUCAUGAUUUUACAAAAUUCUAUGAUGAAUUUGGUCUUAACCCAAGAACCCGAAUCAAGGGACGAGCCAGCGCUGAGCCAGGACGGACAAAUUGGGGACACAAACCCCGGUAAAAUCCUGGCAUUUCCAUGACCGGAGGAACUGGUAUCAAACCCAAGAAAUGGCGGCGGAUCAAGAAGCACGCCCCGCAUGCAAGACUCGAGACAAGCGUCAAAACCAUAUACAUACCUGCACGGUCCGCACAAGGCAGUAGAGGAGCAGCCACGAUGGAGAGCUGGAACUGAGAAGGCGACUGAGGCGGACAGAGAGAUUCAAGAAAUUGGGAGGGGAAGCUCCUGGUUUUUGUGGUUGGGCCUUGAGAAAGUGAUUUGGAGAUGGGCCUACUUACUAGGGUGAAGAGAAGAGGUGGGCCAACCCGAUACAAGAUCGAAAACGGUUCGACCGAGUUGGUGAAACCAAUCGUUGAACCCGGAAGGUCUCAAAUUCAAAUCUUGCUUGACGAGGGUUCUUGGGAUUUAAGUCGGCCAGGAAGAAAUGUUGGGCAUCUAACUUGAUCCAUGGCAUGGACAUAGCAUUCCUUCUUAUCGGCCCCGACAUGUUGACUUAAUCUAGUGUGUCGAAACUGGCUCUAAGUACCAUUGAAAACAGUUCGAUUGAGUUGGUAAAAUCAAUGGGUGAACCCCAAAAGGUCUUGAAGUCAAAUCUAGCUCGAUGAAGAUUCUUGGGAUUUAAGUCGGCCAAGAAGAAAUGCCAAUUGUCUACCUUGAUCCGUGGCUUGGCGUGGCUUGGAUAUAUUAUUCUUUUUUAUUGAACCAGCUCUGAAUACCACUUAAUUAAUUCAUUAUGGGAACAAAUAUACACAAUCUCAAGGAAAGCGGCAUAGUUUGAACUUCGAAUCCAGAUCAUCUACAAGUAUACACAAUCUCAAAGAAAAUGUGCUAGAAGUGGGUUGAGACACAGAAUUAUUGAACUAGCCUUUGAUUUCAGAAUAACAUCAUGAGUUCGGUUGAUUCGCUCUGCCUUUUAUCCUACAAAAUCCUAUUUUGGCAUGCAAUUAGUGUGGAAAGAUUACAUUUAAAGUUUGAGCCCGUCGACAAAAUCUAAACUAAAUUUAAGCGUGCAAAAACUCGAAUCGAACCGGAGCACUCGUAGUGUUCAAAGUCUGAUUCAAAGACAUCCUCAUUCAAAUGGAAGACUUCCCAUUUCGUAUAGUUCAGAGUCUAUGCGCAGUGGCCACCCCAAUUUGCAAGAGAAGUGCAACUUGGACUCGAGCCGGACGUAGGAUUUCCCAUUUCGAUUGUUGAGGGUGUGCUACAAACUCGCCUCCACAAGAAUCUCUAGAUGUCAACAAGCAAAAUGCUGAAAUUCUAUUCUUCACUAGCCCACCAGAGCAGAUGAUUAGAAAUCGCCCUCCACGCAUGCGACUCACAAUUUACCAUUUUACCAUUUACCAUUUGCCAUUUUACCGCAUCGACUCGUUUCAUGGCAACAUCUUCACCAAACCUCCGGCGGAACACGAUAUUCAUUUCAUACUGAGUUUAUGUCCCCAAAAAGAUGAAGGUAACCGAGGGACAAAUCGCCCACUAGAAGAUCGUUGAAAUAGACAACAGGCCCAAAGCAUAAGACGGCACAACUGCUUUUAUUCGUUUGUCUAUCCACAAGGACCAGCCAAUGUCCCGGAUAAAGAUCCGAAACCACAUAACUAUAAGCAUAACAACCCAGUGCCAUAUAAGCCAAGUCAGGGCAAAUUGAUAAUUCAAGCUGCGAAGCCACAUAUUACAGACCAAGGCAUAUCCUCGAGUGUUUAUAUCUCGUGAAAGCCCAACAGGGGUACACACAUUAUGCCGCGGCAUUGACAGCAUGAUCAUUGCAUUCCUUCUGCACAAAAGCUUCAACGUACUGUUUCCUGCAAGGAAGAAUUGAUUCUCUAAGACUCGGGAGCAACAUGGUGUAUGUGAAACAUCAGAGAAACUGGAGAUGUAAGCAACUAGAAGGAAAGGACGGAUCAGUACCUCGCUGGUAAAUGGUCAUGGGGACGAUUGAAUGGGGUCCAAACUGGAUCACCAACAAACAGUCGCACAGCCUAUAUAAAAGAUCACUUGGCAGAGAGUGAACAAAAAUUCUUUCUGCUGAUUAGAAAAUUCAUUCUUCCACUGACUAUAAAACAGCUGCAACAAGCUUAGAAGGCCCAAAUCUAGUUCUCUCGUUCUCUUCAUGUGUGUCUGUGUGUGUGUUUUGUGUCCUCCAUGUGUGCUGGAUCAAAGAAGUGAAGUAUGCAUAUAUUGUAAAUACCUUGAUGUAAUUAUUCGAAUCGAGGGUAAAGCGAUG